UACAGACCAAAAGAUAAGAACUUGUAAACUAAUACCAUAAUACAGUGCCGUCCAAAUACAAGAUUAAGAUUUCCUAUUACAACUAGCACUAUUCUUGUCCUUGUCAUCCCUGUACCCUGUUAAGGAAAACAAAUGAAGGGAUGAGCUAAAAGCUCAGUGAGGUUCCAAGAGAACAACAAGCAAUUAGGCAUAUUAGCAUUCACAUGAUAGCAUGAUUACAUUUUCCAUAAAGCACAUAACAUCCAGACAACUCAUUUAACCAUGUACAGCCGAUAACACAUACAUAUAAAAGGAUACAGUCUGUUCUCGGGAACAGGUUCCAUGACAACUUGUUCAGAAUCUGUUGACACUCCGUCAACCAUGGAAUCAUAAAAAAUCCAGUAGAUCACCACUUAACUCCAACCUCCAUCCACCAAUCAACCCCCUACCGGGCCCGAACUCCAAACAUAAAUAGUAGUGGUAAUACUCGAGUAUACCAAUUAGUCGAGGAGAUAACACUCCAUUCGACAAAACAGUAAACCCAGGGUUCGUUAUCUAAUCGACCAGGCCCUUACCGGCUCGACUCGAUUAACUCGCCUAUGGGGUUUAGGAUCCAGGCCGUUACUUUCAACUCAUGCUUGUGAAUCUCAGUUCACUUGUAAACAAUUCACUUAUAGUAGUAAAACAGGAAUUCAGUCAAGUUAGGUCGAGUGUGAUAAAGUACACACUCACCUAUGUAAUAACAAGUCAAUUCAAGUAACAAGUCAUAUACAGGUCAUAUUUGCGCAACAAGUAGCAUGGAACUUGCAGUUGGAACACUCACUAAUUCAAGCAAAAAUAGCGUCAAAAGUUUCCUCCUGGAUUGCCCCCUUGAUCAGACAAGCCCUAAGAAUAACCAAGUGAACAGAAUUCAUAAUUUAGACUCGACUAUGAGUCGUAUACCUCUCCAAGUUAAAUUUUUUUUUUCAAAACCCAACAUACACAGCCAUAUUUAGAAUGCAAAUCAGGGAAAAAUUUAAGUAUAUUCUAGGGCAAAAACUCAAGUAAGGUUUUGAAGCGUAUGAGAGCAUUUUGGACUCAAGAAACAUGAAUAACCAACAAGUUCCUUAUUCGCUUCAUGGCGGGAAAUUUUCCAGCGGCGAACCAAUGAAAGAAACAAGGUUUUCUCAAGUCAAGUCAGCGAGGUUGUGUCCAAAAGACUUUCAAACUAAAGACGUUGAGGCUAAAAGGUAGCAAGGUGCAAAAUUGCCCUCCAAAUCAGAUUUUUUUCGCAGCCAUGAAACAAGUACAAUCAUGAGGUUUUCACCUCCCAAUCUUCAUAGUUUUCACUCAAAUUCAUGCCCAAAAGGCUCCUCCAAAGUUUGGAACAAGUUUUGGCCAAAACCAAUUACUAAAAGGUUAGAAAAACAACAAUGUAAUAGACUGCACUCUCCAUCGACAAACAAGCACAAUUUUAGCCAGCAAUUUGGAAGAAAAUCCCAAUGAAACCCUUCCAUUUCAACCAAAAUGUAAUACAUAAGCAAAGUUUAAAGGUUCACUAAGCAUAUUAAGCAAGUACAUCACCAAAUCAGUCCAAAAUCAAGGCAGUAAGCUGCCCCAAAAUUUGGACAGCAUAACCCCUGUUUUAUCCUAUAUUUCCUCUCCAAAUUCAAUACAAAAUUUCAUGGCCAAACCAUCCAAAUCAAGACCACAAAUGAUAGGCUAUACAAGCUACUAGUUUCAGACCAUAAAGGCACCAAAAAUAGACAAGUAUUCAACUCACAUGUCUCCGUACCAAGGCUGGCCAUCAAGCAAAAGCUCAACUCUACAAGUUGAAAUUUCCAUAAGCAAACUAAUAGAACAUGUACAAACUAGAAAAAUCACAUGACAUGGCUAACAUUUAUAUUCUACAUUAUAUUAACAUAUUAACACUCAUUUUCCUCAACUAAAAUUGGAAAUUUAUCGCUUGGGACAUGAAACAUGUAAAAGUGAAGUUUUCACCUCUCAACCUUUCAUUUUCUACGUCAAUUCACUACUCAUACCAAAAUUAAUGUCUAAUCAUAUGUUUAAGACAUUAACAAGAUGAUUUCACCACACAAAGCCAAUUGUAAAGCUAAACAAAAUCACUAUCUCUUUCGGUCAGCCUUAAGUAGAAUUCCAGCUAUGAAAACAGUGAAAUAAAUGGAGUUUAAACCACUUAAGAUCCAUGGUUUUGGUUCAUUUCCAACACAUACUUGUAGUUUAAAGUCUUAUAUGGUAUUUUGAGCAAAUUGAGCUUAAAAUCAUCUUGAAAAUUUAACAAUCAAGGCUGAAAUUCCAGCAAGCAUUAUUUCUUUGGGAAAAUCAUAACUUGAGUUAUAAAUGUCAAAAACUUAUACAACUUGGCUCAUUUAAAACUAGACUUAAAAUACUAACAAUCUUUGAAAAACACCUCAAGGAGAUUCAGUUCAUAAAUUAGUCCAAAUUGAGGCACAAUUUACUACAACAUCCCAGUUUUUAUUUGUGCAGGGCGCAUUUUUCAGUCAACUUGGGCGAUUUUCUGGUGCAUAUGUAAAACGAACCACAGCUCCAAUUUUAUACCGUUAGAAAGAUCUAUGAGUCUAGUUUCAAACGCAAUUGACGGCACUCAAUUUCGAUUUUUUUACACUAGAUUAUGAUCAUUUUACUAAAACUGCCCAGGGGUGACUGUCACCCGAAAUUCAACCUUUCACUUGAGUUAUUCCAACUUUAUUGCUACCACUAACUCACAUCUAGGCCAGCCAUUUGCUACCAAAUUCAAAGACAACAUGCUAUAUAUCAUACUAAACAAGAAAUAUAACAUUUAGAGCAUGACUUCCUAGGGAAAACUGUGAGAACCCGUAAAACCCUAAUAUUUUCCCUAGGGUUUAUUUCCCCUUACUUGCAUGUUUUCUGCAUUUUCUGGCUUAGAAAUAUUUUCUUAGUGGAUUUUAUGAUCAAUUAUAGUUUUAAGAUGAUUUUUCUAGUAUUGGAGAAUUUUUAGAAAAUUAAGAGUAAAUAGUGGACGUGGGACCCACUAGUGCGAAAAGUUCAGAAAAAUUCGGCCAAUAAGGUUAAGUUUCGGAUACUGUGUAAAAUUUAUCGGGUGUUAAGUGAUAAGUAGAGUGUGUGAAGUGAUUGAUGUGAGAGAGAAAAGAAAGAUAGGAAGGCAUUUAAUGAGAUGCCACAUGUCACUUUCUCAUUGGUUAUGACUUAAGAAACACUAUUCACCUUUUGACAAAUUUUUGACUUUUGACCCAAUUAGUAAAUAUCUUCAAAAAUUCAUUAAAAUUCCCUCAUUUUCUUUCCACCAUAGCCGGCCCUCUCAAGCUCCAAGGAAGACAAAACUCUUCAACAUUCAAGCUUCUAACAAGUCCAAAUCCACCAAAUCAAGUGUUUAACUUAGUUUUUGCUCCAUAAAAUCUUACCUUUUAGUGAUAGUGAGUGCUUUAGUGAAGCUUGUUUGAAGGUUUAAGGUGUCCAACAUCCUCCUCUCUCUUGUUUCUUGGUAAGUGAUGCUUCAACCUCUCCCCUAUAGUUAAUGAUGGUUAUUUUGUACUUAAUGGUGGCAUGGGUGUUGAAAUAUAUGAUUUGUUUCUUGAUUUGAGGAGUUUUGGAGAAGUUUUUAUUUUAUUGGGAAUUUUUCUGAUUUAAUAUGAAUGGGAUGUUGUGGCCUUGUAUGAUGAAUUGUAAUGGUUGAUAAUGACUCUAUGAGGUGUAUUGGAUAGGAAAAUGCAAUCAAUUUUGGAUUUGGUGUGAAAAUUGAAAAGUUAGGGUUCAUAGAAUCCCAUUUCUGUCCGGUUUUAGAUCACUGGGUUGGAGGCCGAAUUGGACUUUGCUCAAAACAUGAAAGUUGUAGGUAUUGAUGUGUUUAAGGUGCCUGUAAAAUUUCAGGUCAUUUGGAUGAGUGUGGAGUGAGUUAUGCCGUUUCUACUGUAGCUGUUCUGCAUGGAGCAGAAUGUGAAAACUGCGAUAGUAAUUGGCCUUUUUGACUGGAAUUGGUUUGGAUUUUGAAGUUGGUGUCUUCUGAUGAAAUGUAGCUGAAUGUCUUAUCUAACAUAUGCCUUUGGAAUUUUGGCAAUUGGACUUGUAUGGACUGAGAUAUACCGAUUACAGUUUUCUGCGUUUUGCAAACCUGUUUUGGGGAUUCUGGUAUAGUAUUUCGUAUAUUUGACCUAGUUGUGUUAGGAACUGGAUUGAAUGACCUUCUACAAUGUUGUAACCCUGUUUCUUGGAUUCGAAACGGUGGGUCUUACACCCCCAUCCGAUAACCGUAGUGAAAUUGACGCCAUUACCGCAUAAUAAGUGUAAAACAGUUUUUCUUAAUCGGGGCCAAGACUAUUGCUAAUUUUAAUUUCUGGUUUGCUAUCGUGUUCAUUUAUGCAUAUGAAACCCUAUUGGGGUUGUGUUUAGCAUUGUUUGGUGACUCGUUCUCGAGUCUCAUUGUAUGUGUUACAUGUUUUAGGGCGUGACGGUAGCUCACGACGUCUUGGUGACCACGGUGUAUGAAACACCACUUUCUCACUUGGUGAGUAUAUUACUCACUAACUGGUUACUAUGUGGCUUUGCUAAAUGCUUAUGUGAAGCCUUGAAGGCUUACUUGCAUAUUGGAAUUGAUUAAGGUGAGGGUGUACUUGACCGCCCUCACCUCUUUUGAUAUUGUCAUUGAUUGGCUACCGUUUUAUUGCAUUAUUGAACUUGAUAUAUUGGUUGGUGAAUUCCAUUUCAUGGAAACUGAAUUGAUGUCGUUUGGACGAUGUCCAACGGCCUUACUGCAUUACUGAGCUCAACCCCGUUUGGUAGUCAAUCGAAUCGAGCCGGCGAGGGCUUGGUCGUGAAGAUUGAAUUGCCACGGGGACUGUACUGGGGAACCUUGUGGUAAUGAGACCCUUGGUUCCGGUAAACUCGAGUAUUACCAAAAACUACUGAAAUGAAGUGCGGGCCCGGUUGGGGUAUGUUAGGUGGAAGGAUUGGAAGUAAAGGGUGGUCUACGGUUUGGUACUUUUAACAUUGACGGAGAGUCAAUGAGGUUGGAUCAAGAUUGCAAGCGUGGAAAUGGGCUCUUGAGAGCCGACCGUAUCCUUUUACCGUUUUGCUUCAUUGCUUAUUUGUGCACUUUAAAUGAAAGUUCAUUCUUAUAUGACUUUGAUUGCUUAUUGGGUGGUAUACCACUGGGCUUUAGCUCAUUCCGUGUUAUUUGUUUUCCUUACAGGGCGAUAAUUACUUUUGAGAAUGGAUUGGUUAGUCAAUUGCCGAAUUGAGCAUGUAAAAGUCUUUUGUAUUGCUCUUGAAGUGAAACCCUAAUGUAUAACGGGUUCAUUUCCUUUUGAUAGGCAAAUCGAAUGUGUACUUCCUUAGUGAAUGAUUUUGGUAGGCCGUUUUGGCUUGUAAAUGUUGAAUUGAUGUAUAUAUAUAUGUUUGGUAAAUGUUUGGAUGGAUUUCGGAUCAAUGCGAUUUCAAACGAAAAGGGAAAAAAAUUUGGCGUGGAUGAACAGUGUCGAAUCCGGCCAGGAAUCCGGCCAGAAACUGGCCGGAUUGAAGGCCGGAUUGCCUGAGAAAAAUUGGAAAUCCGGCCAGUUGCAUUCGGCCUGGAAUCCGGCCAGACAAUCCGGCCGGAAUCUUGGCCGGAUUGCCGGCCGGAUUGCGAGGGAAAAUUGAAUUUCUUGGUUUUGCUCUCGGCCUUGUAUCCGGCCGAGAAUCCGGCCGAUUCCGACCGGAUUCUGACGUGUCUUCUACUGUUCACUUCGGCUUCAACUUUCAUUUUUUUUUAUUGUGCGAUUGUGACUUGUUUGCGCGCAUUGUUAUGUUCCGGAACGUAAUAGACCGACGUAAACUGUACCGUUAGUCCUGGCGAGAGCUGGGCAGGCAGUCCGCUAACCCCUUUGGUUCGCCUUAGGGGAAGGUGGGGCUGUCACAGGUGGUAUCAGAGCCUAGGUUUGAAUUAGCCUGGGUGUUAUAGGAAUUCUUGAUCUGAGGGUUUAUUGUUUAUGGUUUAUAAGCUUAUUGAUUCUUAUUUUUACACUUUUGGUGUAGGAUGGACAGUUCCAGUGGACCUAGUGAUGGCCCUGCGGCCAAGCGACCCCGUGUAGCGCUCCCGAUGAUUAAGUACCAGAUCCGGCCAAAGGGGGCCGUUAUUCGUUGGAGCCCGUCUAACCGUCUUCGGCGGUGCGCGUGUAAGGAGAAGUAUGCUUACUCGAAUGCCCUCGUUUUGGCAGUUGUGAAGGAAAGAAAGGAGCUGGCAAAAGCUAAUGCCAAGCUUGAGGUUGAGGUGAAUCAGUUAAAGGCGGCCAACGAGGGGCAAGCCAAAAGGAUAGAGGAUCUGAAGUACGAUGUACUAGAGGCGGAGGAUAGAGUCGAUGACCUCUGUGCCCAGCUGAGGGAGGCGCGUGAACGCGAGUCUAAGAGGGCUCGGAAGGUGAGGACUCGAGCCGCUGCAAUCCUAAACCUCUGUGCCGAGGUGGUGGAAGGAGUGAGCGAUAAGGACUCCUGUGCGGGGUCUGAGGCUAGGGUUGGAUCCACUCCGUCGAGUGGGUCUCAUAGCUCAUCUUCGGGCUAGGUUAUGACUCCUAGAGUUGUUAUAGAUAGUUUUGGUCUUGUGUAUAGGGCGGAUAGGGAUAGAGCCUUAGCUAACCGUUUUGGAUGUAGGGUUAGCUACGUGUAAAUCUCUUUUGAUAGGCCUAUCCUCAGGUGGAUCUUUUGUGUACGUACGUGCUUUGGCCGUACUUGACUGACUGCUUGUAUAUAUAUGUUUGGCUUGUAUAUAUGUGUGCUUGUGACCCUGUUUGAAAUGUAUCAAUAUGUGUUAUGUGAAAGUUUAUGUGUUACUUACCUGCUUUAUUACUGCUUUGGUUUAGUACUUUUGCCUAGACCGAGUGAAUUUAUGGAAGGAACACGAAGUGGUCGGGGACGCGGGCGCGGAACUAGACAAACCGCACCGGUUAGGGAAACGGGGGAACCCUCUACUGGACCUAACCCUGGACCGCAAUUAGACCCCAAUGUGCAAAUCGCUGCUGCUAUGCAGCAAAUGACCAACCUACUCGCACAAGUAGUGCAACAACAGGGCCAAAACCCAAACCCUAACCCUGGAAACCCUGGCCAUCAUGUCGAGAGUGAAGAUAGAGCGCUAGAACGGUUUCAAAAGUUUUCUCCGCCAAAGUUUAUUGGGGGACCCGACCCUGAUGUGGCUGAGAAAUGGCUUGAGAAAAUGGUUGAUAUAUUCGCGGCCCUACACUACCCGGACGAACGGCAGGUCACUUUUGCCGUGUUUCAACUUGAAGGGGCUGCCCGUUCCUGGUGGAACGUAAUUAGACAGAAAUGGGAACGGGAGCAGACACCGAGGACUUGGGUGAACUUCAUCCGGGAAUUUAAUGCCAAGUUUUUCCCUCCCUUAGUCCAGGAGAGGAAGGAAGACGAGUUUAUCCGGCUCUGGCAAGGGGCUCAGACGGUGGCGGAGUACGAGAGCCAGUUUACCCGCCUGUCCAAAUUCGCGCCUGAACUGAUCAUGACUGAGCAACGACGGGUGAGGUGCUUCAUUCAGGGUUUGAAUGUGGAGAUCCAGAAAGACCUCGCGGCGGCUCAAAUCACUACAUUUAGCGAGGCAAUGGAGAAGGCCCAACGGGUUGAGAGUGCACGGCUUCAGGUCCGAAACUUCCAGGCUAAAAAGCGUGGUUUUCCUGGGAGUACAUCUGGACAGGGUGAGAAGAGCACUCCCUCUAAGUUUGGACGAGGCACGGGAGGUGGUCGACAAUCUGGACCAGGCAGAGGGACUCCGUUCAGGGGCGGCCAAGCUGGGCGAGGACAAAGGGGAAACGCUCGGAGUGGCUCGGCUUUGGCACCUCGCGGUCCCUGUGGGCACUGUGGGAAAGCAAACCACACCGAAGAUGAUUGCUGGAGGAAACUGGGUAAGUGCCUGCGGUGUGGAAGUGCGGACCAUCAACUGGCUACAUGCCCGGUCCUGAAACAAGACGGAAAGGGAAGCCAGCUACCGUCGAGGACCAAUACUGGACCAGCCAAGGGAGACGGAUCCAAACCAAAGGUGCCAGCUAGGGUGUAUUCCUUAGAGCCCCAUCAGGUCCCAGAGUCUUCCGAGGUGGUGGAAGGUACGAUCCCUAUUUUCCACCGCUUUGCCAAAGUUUUAAUUGAUCCUGGUGCCACUCAUUCGUUUGUUAACCCUGACUUCAUGUGUGGCAUCGAUAUAAAACCUGCUAGUUUACCAUAUAACCUAGAGGUUAGUACACCGACGGGGAAUCAACGUUUGGUGACUAGUAUGGUUUAUAAGGAUUGCGAUGUAUGGGUAGGUGAAAGGAGGUUCUUAGGAGACCUGAUUAGUUUGUCCAUUAAGGGGUACGAUGUGAUUUUGGGUAUGGACUGGUUAGCUAAAUAUAACGCCCAACUGGACUGUAAAACGAAAAUAGUUGAAUUUCGCAUUCCUGGCGAGGCAACCUUAAGGUUAGAUAUAAGGGGUAGGUUAGCCUCAUCUGCUCUCAUUUCGGGCAUUCGAGCUAGGAAAUUGAUAAGUAGAGGGGCGUAAGGAUUUUUGGCCUUCUUAAUUAAUACCCCUACGGAUAAGUUAAAGGUAGAAGAUGUGACCAUAGUGAGGGACUUUCCGGAUGUUUUUCCUGACGAGUUAGUAGCCCUACCGCCGGAAAGAGAGAUAGAAUUUCGAAUUGACCUUUUACCUAGAACUGCACCUAUCUCAAAAACCCCUUACCGAAUGGCGCCUGCAGAACUUAAGGAGCUUAAGUUGCAAUUGCAAGAUCUGUUGGAGCGCGGUUUCAUUCACGAGAGUGAGUCUCCUUGGGGAGCUCCUGUUAUAUUUGUGAAGAAAAAGGAUGGAACCUUGAGGAUGUGCAUUGACUAUCGGGGUCUAAAUAAUGUAACGAUCAAGAAUAAGUAUCCACUGCCCCACAUCGACGAGUUGUUCGACCAGUUGCAAGGAGCAGUGGUCUUCUCCAAGUUGGACCUCCGACAGGGAUAUUACCAGUUGUUGAUUAGGAAGGAGGACAUUCCGAAAACUGCUUUCAAUUCAAGAUACGGGCAUUACGAGUUCGCCGUUAUGCCCUUUGGACUGACUAAUGCUCCCGCCGCUUUCAUGGACCUAAUGCAUAGGGUUUUCAAACCCUACCUGGACCGAUUUGUCGUUGUGUUCAUUGAUGACAUUUUGGUCUUCUCUAAGACACGCGAGGAGCAUGAGGAGCAUUUGAGAGUGGUACUGCAGACGUUACGGGAACAUCAACUGUAUGCCAAGUUUAGUAAAUGCGAGUUCUGGUUGGAGAAAGUAACGUUUCUAGGGCACGUGAUCUCCCACGAAGGUAUUUCGGUGGACCCGGCGAAGGUUGAGGCCGUGACAAAUUGGAAGAGGCCCGAAACCCCCACGGAGAUUCGCAGCUUUCUAGGGCUAGCUGUGUGAGGACUCGCAAAAACUAUUAUUUUAUGCCUAAUUUAUGGCUUAAUAAAUUAUUUAAUUGGAUUUCAUUUCCAAGGAAUAUUUUCUAGUCUUAUUAGACCCAAAUAAGUGGUAAUAUAAUUUCGUUAUAUUUUUAAAAUGAUUCGUUUCGAAAAUUAAUUUCCUAGAGCGCGUUUAGUAAAAAUAGUGAAUAGUACUUGGAGAUUUUAUCCGCGUAGUAGCACAAUAAGCUUGGAAUAUUGGAGACUUGUACUAGGAUCCUAAAAUAGGUAAUUUUAUGAAUAAAUAUUCAAGUGAUAGUUAGUAGUGCAAUCGUUAUAGGAAUUUUUCGAAAGUUCUGCGUAUAGCGGUAAAAUUUGACGGUACGCGUUUUCACACGCGCGACUUCAUUUGAGGGACUUUAGACCCUUAUUCCGGGACAACUAAGAGUGAAUAAUAUUUACAAGAAUACAUAUGCCUUGGAGGUUUAGUGCACUAGUGAACCAAACGCGCGAGAAAAUCGAGCCUAAAAACGUGCCAAACGAGCCUUACAAGAGUUGACUUUGGAGCAAUUUUUCACCACACAUUUAAUCUUCUUGGAGAAGCUAACUUAGAUCAAACACACUCUCUCUUCUCUCUCCUCACAGCCGGCCAAGCUCUCCCUUCUCUCUAACUCAUUUGCAACAAAAAAUUCUGCACACUAACCUCACUCAAAACCACCCCAAAUCACCUCCAAAUCACACCAAACUUGGAGACCACUUAGCACACCACCUGGAGACUAUAUCUAGCUAAGGAGGAGGGGAGCUUUCACGGUUUCUUGGAGCUUCAAGAGGGCCGAAAAUUCUGACCUUGCAAACCAAAGGAGUAGGUAAUGAUCAACCCUUGGAUUCUUAUCUUUUGGAGAUUAUAUGACAAGAUUAAGCUCAUGCAUGCACUUAGUUACUUGUUUAUGGUGUAAAAAUGUGAUUGUGGGCUCUUGGAAUUCCCACACUUGGGUUGUUGUUGCUGAUGUGAUGAUUGAUGGUGAUUAUAUUGUUGGUUUAGUGGUUAUAAUGAUGCAUUAGUGGUGGGUAAUUAGUAGGAACUUCAUUGGGUGUAAGAAGCAAAAACUUCCGAUUUUGCCCCUGCCAUGUUCGGCCAUUUCCAGGCCAAUUUUUAAUGGUUUAAUGGCUUGAAUUGGAUGCUUAUAUGAUGUAUUAGAGGUGUGGAAAAUUUUAUUGAAAAAUAAUGAGGUUUGAAUGGGCAAAUGAAUUUUUUUUUUUGAAACCAGCAAAUCUGGAAAACUGAUUCGCGUAUGCUCUGACCAGCAGUAGUAUUUUGGCUAUAACUCUGUCCUCGGAUGUCGAAAUCAUGUGCCGUUGGUGGCGUUUGAAACUAGACAUUCCUAGCUUUAAUUUGGUAUAUAAUGCACGUUCUGAGUCUUUGUGAGCAGGCCGAACCAAAUGUUUUAAGUUCGAUGUCCUGUCACUCUGUUCAUCUGGAAUGAAGUGUGCAGGCUGCAACUUGAUGCCCGAAUUUGAACCAGAUGGGUGCCGAAUUUGGAAACAAUUUCUUCUAUGAUAUUUUAACUCUAUGAAUGUAUUUUCCAACGGCAUAAGCCAUGCUCAAUUUCGAGCUAUAUUGACUGAGUUGUGACUAAAACAAGUGGACUGCUCUGUUUUGGAAAACCCUAAUGUUUGGACUGGUUUGGAACAAAAUCUCGGAGUGAACUUGUUAGUUGAUGUUUUUGAUAUUAAACACUUACCAAAGGUAUCAUGGGUAUAUCUUAGACCCUUAUUUCACAAAUGAACCAUGGUUGGAUAACUUUCUUGGUUAAACGAUUGGAAAUUUGGAAAAUGAAGGUCCAAGGCAGAUUGCCUUAGGAUUUUUCUUGAACUUCGGUUGGCUCAUUAACGACCUUGCCGAAGGUAUUUUUCCCCGAAAUUCGAUAGAGAGAUACCUUCCAUAUAGUAUUGAAACACUGCCAAUUUUGGUGCCGAUUCAAGUUCGUUUCGAUACCCAAUUGAAUUACUAAAGUUAGAGGUUCAAAUCUGGAAAAUUCUCAUCCAGUCUUGAAUUUGCUCAACUUCGGGCUACCGUAUCUCGGUGCUCGAAACUCCGAUUUUUGAUCCGCUUAUUUUGUCCUACACUUCACUUGCAACACUAAUUGAGCUGAAAAUUUCAGAGGCCGGUUUGCAACGUGCGAAUCGUGCCGAAUUUUCAAAGUUGGCCAAAAUCCAACUUCAUUCUGCCUUGUGAACCAACCCAGCAUCUUCAAGCUCAAUUUUGACCACUUUUCACUUUGAUUCAUGGAAAAGUGUCUUCUAGGAACUUAUAGUACUCUCUAAGAGGUUUCCAACGGUAUAAAGUUUUCCAAUUCUCGACUUAUGCCGAGCGAGUUAUGAUUUUUCAAAGAUUUAUCGUAAAACUGAAAAAAAUUUUCCAACUUCAAAGAAAUAGAGUUUUUCAAGAACUCUUUAUUCUUUUGAUAUUCUUAAACGUUUUGCUUACGAUUUUCAAGAUAAAAACUCAAAUAAUAUUGUACCUAAUAAAAGGCAAGUUGAACCUCGAUUUACGUGUAAUUGAGGUUCCUUUUUGCAAAAUAAUUCUUAGAUUGUACUAGUGUACAAUCUUCCUGAUAAGUGGGUUAAUUGUAUGAUUUCGCCAUUUAAUUGUCAGGCGCGCAAGGAGACCUUCAAGAGGAUCUCACCGCGGACACUUGAACUCCCAGAAAAUAAUUCUUAUUGAAUUGCUCGGUGAGUGUCAAGUGUAUAAAUUUGAUACUUGCUAUUGUGAUACUUGUUGGGAGUUUUAAAAAUAAGGGCGGGUGCGUACUUUAUCGCACUCGUUCUAAUUUCAAAUGAAUGAAUGAAUGAAUGAAAUGUAUUGAAUGAAUGAAUGAAAUGCAAUGUCAUGUCAUGAAUGAUUGUGUCGUUGGAGUGAAUCUCCUCGACUACCAAAUGAAUGGGGGACGCCCAAACUCAUAGGCCGUCCUUAGACUCGAGCCGGCAAUGGGCUUGGUCGGGAACUUGGGCGAGCCAUGAGAUUAUAAGCUCGACCUAAUAAGAGGUCUUGCUUGGCAUACUCGUCGAGUAUCGCCCUAAAAAUAGACUUGUGGGCCCUUGGGGUGUACGGUGGACGGAGGGAAGAAAGUGGUGAUCUACGGAAAUGGAAAUACCGACCCGGUUGACAGGAGGGUCAAUGCGGGAAAGUAUACGAAUGACAUCGACAGAUCGAGUGGGACUUAGCUCCUGAGAGCUACUAUAUCCUUGAAUUGUUUCUGAUUACUUUUCCUGUUUGAUAGAUUGAUUAUUGAAAAGACAUGGCUUUAUUUAUUAAAGUUGGGAUUGUUAUUUGAUUACGUGCUUGCAUGUGUGUUCUUGGCCUCACGAGCGUUAGCUCACCCUAUAGUUUUGUUUUCCUUAACAGGACCGACUCUUGGAGAAAUAUGGAGAAACCAUCCGUUGAAUUUUGUUAAGACUCCUGUUAUGUAUUUUGACUAGGCCCUGGUUUGGGUUGUACUUUUGGAAAUUGUAAACUUGAAAAGUUUGGGCCCUGAUGUGUACUUUGAAUUUAAGUCGUUUCAUGAUUACCCGAUGUACUGGAUAUACAUUAAGUGACUUAUUAAGCUUGAACGCUUCCGCAUUAUUGUAUUCAUGUUGCUCUCAUCGAAGUGUUUAGUUCGGUUUGAAUUUGGAUGGAAUUGCUUGAGUCCUGGCGUGAGCUGGGCAGGCGUCCGCGGAUACCCUUUGGUCCGCCUUAGGGAGAUGUGGGGCGUCACAGUUGGUAUCAGAGCUUAGGCUUCAGAUCUCUGUAGCGUAUCCUAGGCUUAAAGUUUAGGAUGCCUGACUGUGGGAUUAAUUUGGAUAUUAUGUGACAAGGAUCUAUUGUAUCUUAGGGGUUAAAGAAAUUUAUUAUUUGGGAGUUCUUAUUUGGGACUGAAAAUCAUAAUAGUGCAAUGGCUAAAACAUCAUGCUAAAUAAAAUCAGUGAAGAUAUCAAAGGUGAGAAAUGACACAAACUUUAAUCUCGAUAAAAGAAGAGUUAAAACUUGGUUACUAUUCUUGCUAGCUCUAAACCCAUACACUGUCCAUUGAAUAAUUCUUUCUUUCGACUGACAAACGAAAAAUUUUCACUUAACUUGAAGACUAAAAUAUAGGGAGAGACUCAUGGACAAGGAUCCAACACUGCCCAACACACCAAUAUUUAAUAGCACUUAUUAAAAUAACAGGUACCAAGUCCACUGUUCAUAACGGGAAAACAGCUUACUACAUGAAAUUUCACUACAUACAGUCCAAUGAUCACAACUAUUUCAGGCAAGAUCUCACUAAUGGCUAACUUGAAAAAGGAUGUCCAGAAAUGCUAUUCGACUAGCCAAAUGCACUAAUUCAAACUUAUUGCGUGCCCCUUAUGGAAUCCCUUCAUAUUACUUUUCAAUUCUAUGUUCUGGUACAGUAGUUCAAUCUUAUCCAAGUAUUCUUGUUCCCACCGUCCUUCUCAGUGCUCAGUUAAUCUCUUUUAAAACUCUACUUUUUUUCGAAUAAUCUCUAUUUUCUUAUGCAGAUCUGUCACUUUUGUUACCUUGCCGACUCAUUUAACUCAAUGAUAGCUUAUCAGGCAACUCUAAUUACAAUUGGUUUCAUGGAACUUUUAGUCAUAUAACUUUUAAGUUCAUUCAUUUCUAAUCCAACCACGAGGAAUUAAACUUAGCUACUCUCAAAUGGGAUAGACGAGAAAGUAGAACACAAGUGGAACAAUACUUCAAAAUACCAUGUCACUUGUUCCUAUUCUGGAGUAUUAACACAAGGAGUACCAUUGUCACUUACAUACAUAACGAAUCCCUAAAGCGUACUUUGUAUGUCGAAAGCUCCACAUCCUAUCUCAAGCUCUUGCAUACAGGUAUAGAACCCAAUUCUUUUCUCAAAUCCCCAUGCAUAAUUCCAAAACUCACGAUCUUGCCACGAUAAUAAUCGAGUCAAGUCCAUACUUAGACAUUAGUGGAUAGUUGUCAAGGAAGUAUAGAAAAAAUAUCACAAGAGGAUAGAAAUAUCCAUAUAAUUGCAAUCAAACCGCCUCACAUUCGAAAUAAACACUUAUCAAGUCUUCACAGUCAUAGGAGAAGGAAAUAGGUCUUCAAUGCAAAUUUCUCAACAUACACUACAAUCUAGCCACCGUCUAUAGAAACUCUAACAGACUAUUUCUAGAUUAGUCCAUGAUAACUUCCGAGAUCUAUUCCCUCAAUCAGUCCCAUUACCAGGUCAAAUAUUAGAAUCUUUCGCGCCUUGACUUUUGCCAUUAAAACUUAUCUCAAGUGCAAUCAAGAUAUAGACCCUUAGUCUAGUGCUCUCCACUUUUUGGUACUCAAGUACAAGAAUCCACAAUAAGAUAAUUCACAACUCGAGCUAUUAGAGUUCCAAGGGUAAAUCACCAAUAUUAGAGAUUCCUACCUGACAUACAUAUCUAUUUUUCCCAAGUACCUUGAUAAAGGGUUUACGCUUAUAACAGUCAUGAUUCAUAACUUACGCCCAAGAAGAUCACCUAGUGCUUUCCACUUACUCACAUAAUCGGGACAAUAACACCAUUUGACCCCCAAACUCACUCCGCGCAGAGACCACGUGAAGCAGCAAAAAUAUCUUCCUUUCUUUCAAACCAGUUCUCGACAGUUUCAGAAUCUGGUCCUCCAAGAAAUUUAGGAGGAACGAAUUUUUGGAACCGUUCCAGGGCCCUAUCUUCGACUACUUCAGGGUCCCUUUUACUGGUUACCAAGUACUUGACCUUGCUGGUCAACCAAACGGGCCAAUAAAUCAGUCAUACGAUUGAUAACUGUAGCUACCUGGUUCCCUUCUUCACCUCUGGGUCCCUGGUCUUGGUUUGCCACAGAACUUUGUUCCUCCUAUUGGUUCUGGGCCUAUCUAGAUCCAGGCCCACAACCCCGACCACGUUAUCAUCUAGUUUCCAUUAUUACUCACUGGUUUAGACCUAAGUAUUAUAACUAACGGGGUAAGCAAGUAUGGGUAUAUACUAGAUACUCAUUUAUAUUUAAAAGUCAAAUAAAAAUGCAAUCGGAGUCACGAUAAGCAAGUUAAAACGUAAAGCAGUUAAAUGCCAAUGCCGAAAUAAAGUCAAAGUCAAAGUCAAUGCCAAGGUCAAAGUCAUAGUCACAGCCACAGUCACAGUCAAAGUAUUAUACAUUCAAAGGCUCAUAGCAGUUGUUUACAAAAUAACAAGACCAAAAAUAUCAAGUACGAGUCUCAAAAAUACAGAUACAGCUAUACAGUCAUAUCAAGUAAAAAUCUUGUGUAAGUGGCCAAAAGAAAGCAGUACAACUACCGAGUCACCACAUCCCUCAUUCUCUCUAUGUACAGUAGUCAAAAACACCCAAAAUAGUGGCCUAGAAGUAAAGGCUUAGUCCGCCGUGGGACUAGCUGACCCCUCAGCCUGGGCAGGUUCAGCUCCUGCCUCGCCUCCAAUGUAGAAAGCCUCAUUGCUCACAUCUCAAAGUAAGUCAUCACAAAUAUUCAAAAUCGAUUCAGCUCUAUUCCUCACUUUCAUGGUCCUCUAACCAUGCGCUCUUGAGCUUCUCCAAACUGUGCACAAAGGUCAUCAACCCUUUCUCGGCCCUCGACCACAUCAUACUCAAGCUCCUUAAUCCGAUCAGUUUGCGUUUUAAUAGUUUCCUUCAGUUGAUUCACUUCAGCUUCAAGCCUAGCAUUAUCGCUUGUAAGCACCUUCCACUCCUUCACAAUGGCCAACACUACUUCAUUAGGAUAGGUAUAAAUAUGCAGACACUCACACCGCCUGUGGCGGUUAGAUGGGUUCUAAUAGGCUCUAGCUUCUCUGGGUCUGAUUCGAUACUUAAUCAUCGAUAUAUCCCCACGAUAUGGCUCGCCAUCCGUCCCGUCCAUCCUACAAAAGUGUAGAGGAAACUUAAGUGCUCUUAAGGGGAAAUAGUCUAAUAUAAUCCUUAAGUCAAAAAUUUCUAAUUCACUUAGGUCAAUUCAAACCUAGGCUCUAAUUUUUAUCCUACCAGCAAUCACCAAAUCCCACAGGCUGGCAUCCUAAACUUUUAAGUCUAGGCUGCUCUAUAAAGAUCUGAAACCUAAACUCUGAUACCAACUGUGACAACCCCACCUCUCCCUAGGGCAAACCCUAGGGUAUCAGCGGACUGCCUGCCCAACUCUCGCCGGGGUUCAGUCGAUCAAAGUACUAAUAAUUCAAAUGAAGCGGACGAAACAUCUUCCAUGCAAGGUAGUGUAACCUUAAAUAAAACAUAAUCAUUUCACCAAUUCUCCAAAAGGUUAGUAUACAUAUAGCCAAAAGUCAACUUACAUAACAAGAGUCAAACUUAUAGGUUUAAGCUUAAAGAGUCAAAAGUAAGGUCUACUUAAGCAAAAGUUACAAUCCCAAAUACAAUUCCAAAACUAUGUAAAGUUAAGAAAGCUCUUGAUCAAAUCCAUCCCCGAUCUGUUAAGAAAAACAAAGGGAGUGGAGUGAGCUAACGCCCGUGAGAUUCCAAGUAAAAUGAGUAAACACAUAGCCAAAUAAGGUCACAAAAUAAUCAAAUAAACUCCAUACAGUAAGCUAGUAAUUUAAUCACAAUUCAAUUCAAGGAUACGGGUGGCUUUCAAAAGCCAAUAACCACUGGAGCUUGAUCAUAACUGGAUCCGUUGACUCUCCGUCAACGUUUGUAUUCAUAGAAUGCAAGUCCGUAGAACACCGCUUUCACCAAUCUCCGUCCACCAAUCAAACCACUACCGGACCUGCAUGUCACAAACAGUAGUUUGGUAAUAUUCGAAUAUACCAGGAAUCCAAGAUUCCAAAGAAACAGAAUCAAGUCGAGGAUUUUAUCACUGGUGGUGCUGGGCAACACAACAAGCAAUCUCAACGGCUAUACUUCACCAGGGACCUCCAAACAUCAGUCCCCAAGGUUUAUCGGCCUUCUCGACCAAGUCCUUGCUGACUCGAUACAACCGACUCUCCUAAGAGGUUGGGUACCCAAACAGUAGCAGUAGUUGAUGGGAUAUCACCCAAACAACUCAAACAUAGUCAUGUAUAUAGCGACAACUCAUCUCAUAAUAUCAGUAUACAUAGCCUCAUUGGAAAACAAGGGAGGUCGAGUGCGAUAAAGUACAUGCUCGCCUCCAUUUUAUCAAAACAAUAUUUGGCUCCAACAGUCAUAAAUCAAGUAUUUCAGAUAUUCAGAUAUUUCACAUAACGGGUAGCAGGUAGUGGAACACUCACCUGUCAAGUAAUGCAGUAGUCAAACGUCAAGUAUCUCAGUUACGACCACCUUUGUUUCCCAAUCCUAGGACAACGAGUGAAAUCGUUAACAUAUUAGAUUCAUUUCUCACUCAAUCGUAGGCUCAUUAAGAGACCAAGUGAGUGAUUAAAGCCACGCAAUUCAUCAUGCAAAUUUGGCUCAAAAUGCAGUAAAAGUUCAUGAGAAACAAGUUCAAUAAGUGCAUGAAAGUUGGACAAAAGAAAAGUUUCAUUCUAGGUUAAAUCGUUCUUCGCGCAUAAAACAGUCCCCACGCAAGCUCGGUAAAAUGGCUAUACCUUACUGUAGGAAGGUCAGAAUUAGGUGCCGUCAGCGGCGUUGGAAACUAGACUCGAAGGGCUUUCCAACAGUACUAAUUGGACACUCUAGUUCAUCUCCUAGUAGUACUAGUACCUCGGACAAUUUGGCUGUUUUUCCAACCCUGGAUCAGCCCCAACCGCAAGCAAAACUACAUUGGUUCUUGGUGCUAUCUUCAUUUGUUUUAGUUCAAAUUCACCAAAUCAGUCCUCAAAUGUUCAUAUACAGGGUGUCACAUCACCUAGGGCCAUUGGAGUUCAAAAUAUAAUACAUCAACAUGAAUAAGAAUAACCAUAGUAGCCUAGCCAUCAAGAAAACCAAACCAGUCCACUAUAUAGACCAAACCACUACAUUACUUGCUCAAAUUUCAUUCAACUCACUCGUGAGCUUAACCAAUGUCUAGCCAUGAUUAUUAGGCUUGAAUAGAGUACACUUGAACCACAAAAAUCAAGGGGAAACCCCUUCUUCCAAUACCGUCAGCUAAGACAAGAAAAUCAGUCCACAAGUUUACAUGUUCAUCUAACUUUCAUUCCUUUCAUGAUUUCCAUUUAAACAACACAUCAAGUGGUAGAUCUAACUCAAAAGAGGUUUAAAACAUGUUAAUACCUCAUAAAUAAACAUGAACAAGAUCCAAACAUUUCAUCAAACACUUGAUAGGCAUAAAAACUAACUCAACUAUUACUUGUUUCAUUCAAGAAAUUAACUCCAAAUCUCAACCAAAACAACUUGUAUAUUGCCAUUUAAAACCUCAAGUACAUGAUAAAACACCAUAAAACCAUCAUUUAAAGAAUAUUUACCUCUCUUGUAGGUAACUUGAAUCACCAAAUCAAUCCACCAAAAUGAGAGCUUCAAGCUUGAAUCAAACACUUAGCGUUGGAGGAAAAUUUCUCUCUAACUCAAGAUCUUUCUCUUUGAUUUUUCUCUCAAGAUCAAACUAAGUUUAGAAAGUAAGAAAAUGGAGUUUCUCUCCUUCCUUUGAGGGCUUAAGAAAGUCGGCCAAGCUUAGGAAAGAAAAGCUCCAAGAUGGUUUAAAUUCUUUCUAAUCUCUUGGUCAAACAAAAUCCAUGACUAGGGUUUUGCCACUUGGCUCCAUCCUUGUCCAAUCCUUUCUUAAUUUUUGACUAAUGAUAUACUAACCUUUUCAAAUGUACCGAUAAUUCUUUAACACCUUUAAUCUUACAUGUAAAGUCUCUACCACUAAUAUAAGGACACUUGGUAAAAUGCAAGUGAUGAAUUAUUUAAAACCAAUCCAAGAAAAUGUUUUACUUCAAGUAAAAAGGAAAUGAAAUGGAAUACAUGAAAAUGUUGUAACAUAUAAGAAAUAUAAUGCAAAGGCAUAUAAUAAGUGAUUUAAAUCCUAGGGUAAGACAUUCAAUUUUGGAAAAUUGUGUUUUAAAAUGAGAGUCAAUACAAGAGAAUUGUUGUAACACAUGUAAAAUGCAAUAUUAGGGCAUAUAAUGAGUGGUUUAAAUCUUAGGACAAGACAUGUAGUUUAGAAAAAUUAUAUUUUAAAGUGAGGGUUCUCUCACAGUGACCUUGAGAAAUUUUUUUCAAUUCUUUCGGACGUCUGGUACCUUUAAUGCUUGCAUCCGAAAGCAGAUAGUAAAAUUGAGAAAUUUUUUUCAAUCCUUUUAGACGUCCGAUACCUCUAAAGCUUUGCGUCCGAAGUACAACAUAGUUUAUCGGAUGUCCGGUUUCUCUGAUGUAUGCAUCCGAAAGAGGUCAGUGACCUAGGUGGAAUGUCUUAAUUCUUUCAGAUGUCUGGUGAUGGAGUUCUUCAUACAUCUGAAAUGCCGCGUACUUUAUUGGACUUCCGGUUCUGUUUUCACGAGCGUCGACAGCAUUUAGCUUCCUUUGUCUCUUUUCAAUUACACUUGAUCUUGAAUCAUAUCUGUUUCAUGACUGAGAAUAUUUUUUGAAGGGAUAUUAGUAUCAUCCAAUUGUUUUAUAAACAUCAAAAGUUAGGAACCAAUGUCAACAUUCUCCCCCAUUUUGAUGAUGACCAAACAAUGGAUAGAAGAAAGAAAAAGAUUGAGCCUAAACUCCCCCUCACUCAUUGCAUCAAAAAUUUUUAAGUGCCAAACUUAUAAUCUCAGAAUAACUCCCCCUUUCACAUAACAUCCAUUUUUCCCCCUUUUUGUCAUCAUAAGAUGAGAGUAAAAUCUAACAACCAUAAUCCAUAAUGUAGUUGCCAUAAUAGAGAAUCCAAAAUACCAAUCAAAACAGAGAAAUGAUACUAGAAUUCAGCAAUCACCAAUAUACCAACAUCAAUCAUCAGCCAAAAAUAGAGAAUCAAUACCAAAAAAAUACCAAACAGAGAAAUAUCAAUCAAAAUAUAUUAGCAAUUCAACUAGAAACUAUCAAUGUUAAUCAAGAUUCAUUAGUAUAGAGUACUUGAAACAUCAAAAGAGAAAAUACAAAAAAUGCAUGCUAAUAUGAAGUGCAAAUGACCCUAAAGUGCCUAAAGUGUAAUCAGAAAAUUUCAGAAAGUCACAACAUUUAAAUUUCGAACAAUUGACACUUCAAAUGUUAACAAUAUUCAAACCAAGCAGAUUUUGAACUUUUACAAAUAGGGAAACGAAAUUUUUUGAAAGGUCAUCUUUGUGACCAAGAAAAAUCACCCAAGUGUAUCUAGAAUAAUCAUUAAUAAUGACUAAAUAAUAUCUCUUACCACCCAAACUAGCAAUUUGUGUAGAACCAAAUAAAUCAAUAUGUAAAAGUUUCAAUGGUCUUAAGGUAGAAACACAUUAUCUCCAAAUGUCACUAUGCCACUAGAUUUUGGUUUAAUUUUGAUGAAUUGUGAUGGAUCACUGGUCAUGUGUCUUAAAUAUUUACUAUCUAUGAACCAUUUUGAUUCCUUAAUAAUGCUCACCAGGUUCACCUAUUCAAGAGUUCAAGAACUAAUAUAUGGUACCCAUUAAUUUUUGGAUCCUUGAGAGCUAGCAUCAUGUCUAACUAUCCACAUGCAUUUCAUGCCUCUUCUUAUGUUCUUCUUCACAUAGCAAUUACUUUUCAAGUGACCUUUUUUACAACAAAAAUUACAAAUAAUCAAUGAAUUAUUUGCAUAAACAGGUUUAAUAAAUCUUACUUGUCUUCUUUUAUAAACAGCAAAAUCAUUUACACCAGAAUUUAUCUUCUUCUUAUAAGUGUCAAGAUGAGACUUUGUUCCAUUUCCUUGAAACCAGUUUUGUUUCUUAUAUUGGAGAAAUUCAUUUAGAUUAUCCAUUCUUCUUUUUAGAUCACCUUGUUCCUCUUUGAACAUUUCACAAAUCCUAGUUUUUCUAUCAAGCUUAUUCUAUAAAUCAAUCUCAUUUUUUUUCAAGAAAUCAUUUUUAGUUUUCAACUUCUUGUUUUCUUGAAAAAGCGUGCAUUAUCCAGAAGAAGAAAACUAAUUUGUGUUUUAAUUCCUUGUUUCUAGUAUAAAAUUCUUUCAAACUAUCAUGUAAUGUUUCAAUAAAAGAUUGAAGAUUAUCAUCAAUUUCAUCAUCACUUUCAAAUUGGGAAUUACAAGUUGUUACCUCCAAUGGUCAUAAAAGUCAAUUGAGUAUAUUCUUCUUCCUCUUCAAUUUUACCAUCGGGGUUACACUCGUUUCAUGUGAAUUGGAAGUUGUUGAAUCUUGAUUUUCUUCCUUCUUUCUUCUUCUUCAUUAGACACUCAGUCCUGUAAUGUCCAACUUGGCUGCAAUCAUAGCAUUUGUUACCUUACUUUUUGUUGGCCUCUAGCUUUUCACUGUUUCUUGCAUUGUUGAAUUGAUUGGAUUUGAAUUGCGAGGUCCUUCUUUUCUGAAUCUCCUUUUGUUGAGAAUUCUCUUGAAACUUUUUGUGAUGAGAGUUAGAUCAUUAUCAUCCACAUCCAUAUCUUUUUCAUCCAAGGAAGCCGAAUCAUUUUCAUCUUGAGAUGCUUUUAGAGCAAUGCUCUUUCUUACCUUUGCAUCUUCUUUUUCUUGUACCUUAGUCUUAAGUUUCAGCUCAUAAGAGGUUAGAGAAUUAAUAAGAGAUUCAAUAGACAUAAAAUUCAAAUCUUUAGUCUCUUCAAUAGUAGUCACCUUACUCUCCCAAUCCUUGGAUAAAGCAUUCAAAAUUUUUCUGUUUUUCUCUCCUAAGAAGUAUUUCUUUCUAGCACCUCUAAAUUCUUAAUAAGAUCAUUGAAUCAAUAAUACAUUUUAUCAAUAUUUUCAUGAAAUUCCAUCUUAAACGACUCAUACUUAGUAACCAAGAUAGUUUUUUUUUGUUCUCUAAUAUUUUCACUACCUUCAUGAAUUUCUCUCAAUUUAUCCCAAAUUUUUUUAGCUGACUUACAACCCUUGACUCUAAUACAUUCAUUUGAAUCGAAAGCACUAUAUAACACAUUCAUAGAUUUUGCAUUUAAGGUGAGAUGAUUUCUAUCCUCUGCAGUCAAUUUAUUUCUUAUUUUUUGUCUAGAUCUAUGAGUGUUUUUAUCUACUAUAGAGGUAUCAUAUGCACCUUCAUUAACAUUAAACCAUAAUUCAUUAUCAAUCGAUUGCAAGAAGAUAAUCAUUCUUUCUUUCUAACUCACAUAAUUUGAUCCAUUAAACAUUGGAGGUCUAAUCAUAGAUUGUUCUUCAAAAAACAUGGCAUUGUUAAUUAUCAUCUUUACUCCUAAGCCGAUUGAGUUUAAUCUCUAGGAGACCAAGCUCUGAUACCCUCUUUUCUAAGUGAUCACACAAUGAAUCAAUCAAUGAAUGAACAAAAUCACUUGAGAGAAGUAAAAGAUAUAAGCAAUUUAAAAAAUCACAAGGUAACAAUAAGUAAAUAAGAAGAAAGGAAUUGCAAACCAAUUGACUACCAAGCUCCUCUUGAGCUUUUAGAUCAAUUCAAACAAUUUUAUUCAAAUUGAUGAAAUACAACCAAUUUUGUUUACAAAAGAAGACUCAAUUUUUCCUUGCCAUAAACUCCACUCGGUCAAGAUAGGAAGUUUUACUAUCUCUCAGGAUAACCCUCACAGAGUUACACUAUUGAAGUAUUCACUCACAAAUAAAAAGUUUACAAUGAAUGUCACACCACGAAAACUACAAAUCUUCCUUGGAGAGUGUUUUCUCAUUAAAACUACUCUAUAUUUUUUGUCUUUAGUAUGCAAAAAUUAUUUGAAAUUUCUGAUAAUGCUCUAUUUAUAUGAGACCAAGAAAGUGUUUCACUAAUGUUUCCAACAGAUAGAAAGUAGGUGAAGAGUCAACUAGCCAUUGGAAGUGUCGGACGUCCGGUACUCCUGUUUCUUGCGUCCGACAGCAGGCAGUGAGUUUGAGAGAUUUUCUUCAGUUCUUUUAGAUGUCCGGUACCUCUAAUGCUUGCGUCCGAAAGCAGAUGGUGAGAUUGAGAAAUCUUCUUCAAUCCUUUCGGACGUCCGGUACCUCUAAAGUUUUGUGUCCAAAGUGCAGUAUAGUUUAUCAGACAUCCGGUAUAUCUAAUGUAUGAGUCCGAAAGAGGUCAGUGAGUUAGGUGGAAUGUUUUAAUUCUUUCGGACAUCAUGUGAUGGAGUUCUUCAUGCGUCCGAAGUGCCGCAUACUUUAUCGAACAUCCGGUCCUAUCUUCACAAGCGUCCGAUAGCAUUCAGCUUCCUUUAUCUCUUUUCAAUUACACUUGAUCUUGAAUCAUAUCUGCUUUAUGACUGAGAAUAUUUCUUGAAGGGAUAUUAGUAUCAUACAAUUGUUUUGUAAACAUCAAAAGUUAGGGAUCAAGGUCAAUAAAAUGAACGACAGAUUGGUGAAAUAAAAACGGAACCAAAUUAAAUAAUAGAUUAGUGGAAUAAAAUUUGAACCAAUUAAAUAACAAAUUGGUGGAUAAAAUCUAAAUCCAAAUAAAUAACAAAUUUGUGGAAUAAAAUCCAUAUCCAAUUAAAUAACGGUAGAAAUGAAAAUGCGUCCUAGACCUAAAUUGCUGGUGGGAUUAGAACCAAACCCCAAACGACUAGUGGGAGAAACAAAAAUGCAAAUUACUAAUCUUGAGAAAGUAAAAUUGUAACAUUCAUGCCACUAGAUUAGAAAGAAUAAAAAAGUCUCAGAAAUAAUUCCAAAAAUGAUGGAAUAAAAUGCAAAGUCUAGAUUGCUAUAAAGAAAUGAAAUUGAAGGCCCAGAAUGUUGUUUACAAAAGAUUCUCUCUUUUUUGUUUUGUUUUUUUUUUGUUCUUUGAUUUUUUUGAAAAGGCUUCUUUUCGGGUUUUCAACUAAUGAACAACUUUAACGACAACCUCUAUCAAUUAAAAAAUUUGUUUCAAGAUUGAUAGUAUUUAGUAAGAUAAUCUUUUCCUUGCAAAACUGGUGAAGUGUGUGUUUAUAGUAUUUGCCAUUUGAUUAAGAAAAUUAUCUUCAAAAUAUUGCAAAAGAUGAGGUCAUAAUAAGAAGAGUUAAUGCUUGAAAGCAGAUCAUAUAAUGGGUUUGAGGUAGUUUUGAAAUCGCAUUUUUCAAAAUUUGCCCCAGUGUAAGGCUGAUAAAAACUAAAAUAUUGCCCAAUUUAAUUCUAACUGGACUUCUCUUUUUUUUCUCUUCUCAUUUUUUUGUUCUGCUGAAGUAUGUACUCAUUAUGAAUGGAUAAGCCAAUCCUCCACUUUGCAAUGUAGCGUUAUUACUCUUUUUUAUUCGUGGUUGACUUUCAAAUUUGCAAGAUUUUGACUUAUGUUGCGUUCUCGAUUUCAUCCAUAAACACCUGUACAAAGGGGAUUUUUCAACGUAUAAUAUGCACUUGAAUUUUUUUCGCGGAACUUUCUUUAUUUUGGAGUAAUGAUGUAGCAAUUAUGGUUCAUGCAAAGUGUUAAUUUAUCAAAGUCAAAAUUUGAACAACAAAUUUGAAGUGUACUUGACCCUUGGACAUACCCUACAAAUAUAUUAUAAAAAUUACCUCAAUUUAACCCAUUUAAUUGCAAAAAUUUUUGUUUGGAUGACUUUUCAUUUCUUUGGAUAAAAACAAGAAAACUGUGCUUCAUAAACUUUGGGAAAUAAUCAGAUAUUAACAUGCAAUAUGCAUUGGUAUAGAAUAGAAAUUGCAUUCUUUAAAUGAAAAGAGCCUUAAAUGUCAUGCUUAAACUCAUAUAGAAAAUCCCAUGAUAAACCUCUCAAAAUAUGACCAAAUUGCAAUAGAUCUCUUCCUCACUUAGGAUCGGUGUUUAGGGAAAAAGAUCACUUUUUUGCAUUAGCUCAUCCUUUAGGACCAAUCGAGUGGGUAUUAUCCUUGAUUUUCAGGUGGCCAAGAGAAAUAAUAGUUAAAGAUAGUAUAUCAAGAUCUGUCUUGAUUUUGGUCCCUAGAUUGCAUUUAACCCAUUCAAUACUACAUCUUGAUGAAAACAACUAGCUUAUCACCAUUAUUUCUUCUGAAAACUUAGUCAAUAUAUAAAUUCUGUGGGCUUGUAAUGUACAGGUAAAAGAGAUAGUUAAACACACUGAAACAAGCUAUGACCUUAUGAUCACGUGUGACUGGUAGAUCCCUUAAGGGGUUGAUCCUUACUUCAAGUUGUCAUGCAUACUUCAAGUUGUCAUGCAAAAUAAGUUAGCAAUGGACUUUAUGAGUUUGUAAUGUGGCUUGAAAACGAUAGUUAAAAGAAACAAAAUUUUCAAGGAUGCUACACUUAAGAUCGCAUUCCUCCCAAAAUUGUUCCAAUUUUGGGCUCAAAGAUCUUGAACUCCACUUAGACUUUUAUCAUCAAUCACCGGAAAUAUUUUGAUAUUGAAUUUUCUCUUUUUUUCUUUCUCUUCUUUUUUUGUAUUUUCUUUCUCUUUUUCUCUCUUUUUUUUUUGCAUUUUUUUGGUUGAUACUAAAGUUCAAAUAUCAAUGGUAAAAUAAAAAAACCCCCUAGCUUUUAGAAGAUAGAUGCCAUUUUCUUUUUCCUUUUCUUCUUUUUUUUGAACAAUUCAUGUCUUUUUUAAAAAAAUUUAGCAUCUUUGCUAUUAUUGAAAAUUCUCAAAUCUCCUACCUCGGAAUGUAAUCGAGUCGAAUCAAGCUCGAGUAGUGCUAUACUCGAGCUCGCCUCGACUCAUAUAUCGAGCUCGAGCUCAAUCGAGUCAAAAAAAUGAUACUCAAAACUUGACUCGAUAUACUCACUCUAAGCUCAAAACUCGACUCGAUAAGGCUCGACCCUUAGUCAAGCCUUAUCAAGCCGAGUCUAAUCAAGUUUUUUGACUCGACUCGACCAAAAAAUGAGGCAUUUUUUAGACUUUUUCUUUUUAGGUAUUUUUAUAAGUAUGUUAUUACUUUUUUACCCUUAUAAAAUUUUAUUAUAAAGAAGAGUAUAUUGUAAAUUCUGUAUAACCUAUACCCAUAAUAGUCAUUUUAUAAUUAUAAUACAUAUAUAUUAUUAAAUUAUAAAUAUAUUAUUUAAAUAGCCCGGCUCGACGAGCUACUCGACAAGCUGCGAGCCAAAAAUUUGAGACUCGAAACUCGACUCGAACGCCAAUCGAGCUACUCGAAACUCUGCUCGAACUCGGUCAAACCGAGUUCGAGCCAAGCUGUUGUCGGCUCGCGUAUAUCCCUACUCCUACCCCAAUAUGGGGUGCAAUCAUAAGUACAUUUGAAACGAACCAUCAAUUUAAAUUCAAAUGAGGAUGCAAAGGAUAAACAGUGUUUACAUAGUAGAAAACAUGGUCAGAGCAUUAUUCUUACGUUAUAUGAAAAUCAAAGUAAAGAAUAACUAAUUAGGAGAAUUUAUUCCCUUUUUACAUUUGAAAAUUUCCCUAAUGUAGGAUUGUGAUCACCAAGGCUCCUAUUUGAAAUGAUAUUGUACUUUUGAUUGCUUAAAUGGGAGAGUAAAUGAUAAAAUCCGUAUAGAUAGAGAAACAAACGCCGAAAGUAUCAUCCCAAAUUCUCAAAACAAAUAAGAGUAAUGACUAUUUUAAACUAGAUGUAGAUUGAAUUUGGUUAAACACAAUGGCUUUUCAAAAGUCAAAAAUAGCUUACUUUGAAGUUUGUCAAUUAAGGUGACUGAUUCUGGAGGCUUGAUAGAAAAAAUGUGAAUAGCACCAAUGAAAGAGAAGCACCAUCAUACUUGGUCUCUUAAAACAAACUAACAAAUUCGAAUCACCCUUUUUGAUUUUGUGACAACCCCACCUCCCUCUAGAGCAACCCAGAAGUUAACGGAUCGCCUGCCCAACUCUCGCCGGGACUCACUACAAUCCUCAAAUGAAAAAUAGACCAAUUCCAAUAAUUACAUCUAAAUAUGCCCAAAAUAACAACACGACUAUAAUAUUUCAUUGCACAAGUACAUCCAAGGAUACACAUCUCAAGUCAAUUACAUCGAGUUCCAAAUCUUACAAUUCCCCAAAGGUCAGUUACAAUAAUACCAAACUAUACCAAAGACUAGCCUUCACUAGUAUCUUCCAAUCACUUUCUUCACGUCACUCUCCAUUAAGGAAUAACAAAUGGAAUGGGAUGAGCUAACGAUCAGUGAGGCCAAGAAAAGACAUGCAAGCACGUAAUAGAGUAAGUAGAAGAGAGCACAAAAAAAAAUCGAGACAAUAGUAAAACCAGAAGUUUCAAGUAAUUAACAUUUCAAGUAGGAAAAGUAAGCAGAAACAAUUAAGAAUACUGGACUCUCAGGAGCUAAGUCCACUUGUAAAGCGGUUGAAGCUGAUACCAUUCCAUCUCAGGUGUUGACUCUCCGUCAACCAAGCAACAAACAAAUCCGUAGAAUCACCACUUGCUACGUCUCCUCCCAACAUUUGUCCCCCUCGGGCCCGGAACAAAACACGCAUGAGGUGGUAAUACCACUCGAUAUACCAAGCAAGUCUCUCCUGUGACGGCCCCACCUCUCCCUAGGGCGUACCCCAGGGUUCGGCGGGCCGCCCGCCCAGCUCUCGCCGGGACUCAGUCGUUCACUACAGUCCUCAAAUAAAUACAAUACAAAUCUCAAGUAUACAUCAAAUGGUCCACAAAUACACAUCCGUCUCCAAUAAUUACAUGUCACAAAUGCAGCGGAAACUAAUCCCAAAUAUACAUAAAAUAAUUCCAAAUCCAAAAUUGUACAAAGUUUAGGCCAUCCAUACACGUGCACAAGUACUACAAGUCCUUCCUUCGCCACGAGCCCUGUGGAGGGGAAUAAAAUAGUUUUUGGGGUGAGCUAAAAGCUCAGCGAGUAACCAGAAAAUCAUUAAUCAACUCGGUUUCACAAUAGUUCAUUUCAAUGAUGUCAUAUAGCAAUGAUGUCAUAAAUUAAAUGAUAAAUCCGGAAACAACUACAUCAUUUGCAAAACAGUAAAUAUGGAUUAUCAAUAAUUCAAGAAACAUUUACAAUGGAAAGCGAUAGUAACAUUCAUGAAAGGAUACAUUCAUUCUCCUGACAUUUCCUCGCUCAUUUGGUCAUUCAUUUCAUUUCAUUCACCCCGUCCCUGGCUUUUGGCCAGGCUCCACCAACCUACAUAGGUAAUACUCGAGUAUACCAAACGUUCACCCAAGUUCCUAAUCGCCUGACCGAGUCCGCUUCUGGCUCAAGACGACCGGUAACAAGGGGCAAUGGCCAGUUCAGCCCAAAAGGCUUACAUUCAUGCGCAAGUAACAUUUCAAUCGAAAAUUUCACCUUUAUCGAGGUCGAGUGCGAUAAAGUACACACUCGCCUCGAAAACUCGUUUUGGAAAUCAUUAUAAGCGCUUAACACGUUAUCAACCAAAAUACAAGUCAUGAAGUCAAGAAAUAUAGCAAACAAGGCACACUCAAAUGCCAGCACACAUGAUAUGCAAGAAAACAUUUCAAAAGUAACUUUGGAAACAGUUCAAAAGUAAAUAAUGUAAGAAACGGUUCAUAAAUCACUUUAGAAGUAGUUUGAGGUCACUCACCUCCAUGGCUCAGAAAUCAUCCAUCAUAUAACAUUGCCUUGCUCAAAUCCAAGUCUUAGAUCACAAACUCAAAGCAAUCAAACCCUUUAAAACUUCGGACAGCACUUCCCCUAAAUUUGCUUACUUUCCCAGCCAUCAUGGCUUCAUUAUUUCCUCAGCCAGUUCCAAAGUCACACAAAUAAGUUCAUCCAAUAGCCAUUCAGCAAGCUCCAAGUAGUACUAGCACAAGUCAAGCUAGGGAAAAGUCCGGAAAUGAAAGUUAAGCUCAAAACCAGAAAAAUAGUUUUGACGUCAUUUUGCGGUAAUGGUACCAAAGGCGCUACGAUUGUCGGAUGAAGGUGAAAGACCCACCGUUUCGAAGCUAAGAGUCAGGGCUACAAUAUUGCAGAAGGUCACUCAACCCAGUUUCGAGUGCAAACAGGUCAAAAAGGCAAGAUACCACAUCAAAAACGUAAAACAGAUUCACCAAAACGCAUUCUAGCGGAAACAUCAUAACUCAGGCUCUACAAGUCCAAAUCCAGAAAUUCCAAAGGUAUAUGGUAGCUAAUACAUCAAGCUACAUUUCAUCAGAAGACCUCAAAGGCCAAAUCGUGCAUUUUCAUGAUCGAAAAUGGAAGACUACACGAAAACAAAAAUCUGGGCGCGAAACAGGUUUCAAAAACAGUCAAGGGUAUUUCGGUCAUUUCACAUGCUACAGUGGUGGAUCAAGCUGAAAAUUUACAGGAAACUAUUUUAUAGCCUUGGAUACAACUUUCAUGUUUUGGCCAAAAUCUAAUUCGGUGAGAAUCAGGGUGAAAAGUCACGGUCAAAUUGAGUGAAAAGGCAACCCUGUUCGCAGCACCCCUUCCCAGACCAGUCUCAGUAUUUCCGACUUUUCUCACUCCACACUACUCCAAUUGACCUGAAAUUUUACAGGACCUUUAAAACAUCAAUACCUACAACUUUCAUGUUUUAACCAAGGCCAAUUCGGCCUCUAACCAUGAGAUACAAAACCGGACAGAAUUGGGGAUAUAAAACCCUAACUUUCUCAAAUUCCUUCCAAACCCAAAAUUGGUUGCAAUUACCAAUCAUUUACACCUACUAGAGUUAUUAAACAUCAUUUCCAACCAUCAUGGACAGCCACAACAUCAUGAUCAAAUUAAACCAGAAAAAUCAUCAAUAAAUCAAAAACUUCACCAAUUCAUCUCAAACCAAGAAAUAAACCACAAAUUUCAGCACUUUAGCUCCCACUAGGCAUAACUUAAGCUUCAUUAAGUGUAGGAGGAAGUUCAAUCACCACUCACCUUAACAAUAGAAGAGAGAGAACAACUAGGCACCUUAACCUUCCAAAUAACUCCACCAAGAGCUCCAAUCUUCCUUAGCUAGCAAGUUUUAUGGAGUGAUUUGCAAUUUAAUCGGUUGGAACUCAAGAUUUGAGCAAGAAUUGAAGUUGAAGUUGAAGAAACUCUCUCUUGUUCUUUCCUCACCAAAAAUUUCGGCCAAGACAAUAAAAAUGGAAGAAAUUGGGUCAAAAUUUGGUUUAGUAAAGGUUAAGACAAGUCCAAGUCAAAGUCAAGGUCCAAUAGUUAGGUGACAAAUGGUCCUCUAGGAUUUUAAUCUUAUCCUUUUGUCUCUCCAAGAUUAAACCAUCUAAGUAACCUCUAAUUAUCUCUUAGCACCUUGUAAAAUAAUAUCACUUAAUACAAAAUUCCAACAAGUUGUCAAAAAAUAUAAUGCAUUUACCGCACUAGCGGGUCCCACGUCCAAAAUACGCUUUUAAUUUCUCAAAAACUAACCGAUACUAGAAAAAUCAUUUUAAAACUAUUUUUGCUCAUAAACUUUAUCUGGGAAAUUUUUCUAAUCAAGAAAAUGUAGAAAAGGCGGGCGUUAAAAAAAUAAACCCUAGAAAAUUAGAAAAUUUCCGGGUUCUCAAACUCAUUUUUUUCGGGGCGUCACAUCUCCAAUAGAUCAAGCUUAUCACUUCCUACGGUUCACCAAACUUCCCGACCAAGCCCUUGCUGGCUCGGAUCCCAAGGUUAGCCAAUAGGCUUGGGCGUCCCCCCAUGAGUAAAAUUUGUUGAUGAGAUUCACUAUAAUCGGCAUUCAAGUUCAAGUUCAAUACAAGUCAAGUUCAAAUAAGUCAAGUAACAAGUCAAGUCAUGUUCAUGUAUACAAGCAAGGUCAAUCAAGUAGAUACAACAAUUCAUGCACUUGACACUCACCGAAAUCAAGAGUGUAAAACAAGAGUAAGGCAAGAUCAAACGAGCUCCUCGAAAUCCUCUUGAUCACCUGAGACAUGCACAAUUAAAAAUCACCUAGGUAAUCAACCAAAGUCUAGUAGUAUUCCUGCUACCCUCACUCAAGAGAUAACAUGUUCAAAUCGAAUGCAAAUAUCACUUACUAACUUAAUCCACGAGAGUAGCAUUUGAAAAUAUUUAAGAAUGCAUUAAUUCAAGUCAAGUCAAGUCCAAGAUUCUCCAAUUUGAGGAUUAAGCAGAUCUGUAAGUUUUGGCAUGAAAAUCGAGAAAGAUGGAAGAUUAUUUUCUUGUCAAAAUUUCCUAGUUAAACGCCCAAGUUUCAAGUAUAAGUGAGCUUUCACAUUUUUCAAACUCAUUUAGUUAAAGUCUAGUAAAACUGCCACUAACGGCUCAUUAACUUCUUUAGCUGCCAAUCGACAUUCAAGUUCAAGUUCAAUACAAGUCAAGUUCAAAUAAGUCAAGUAACAAGUCAAGUCAUGUUCAUGUAUACAAGCAAAAUCAAUCAAGUAGAUACAACAAUUCAUGCACUUGACACUCACCGAAAUGGAAGAAACUUUUCAUUAAACUCCCGAGUGAAAUUCUCCCAAGUCCAAGGGGUUCGAGCUCUUUCCCAUUUUCCUUUUAUCAAAUCCCACCAAGCACGGGCUACUCCCUCAAAUUGAAAAGCAGCAAAGUUCACUCGUCUAUCCUCAGUAUAGUCUAGAGCGGCGAAUAUGUUGGUCAUCCUUUCUAACCAAUUCUCCGCUACUUCGGGGUCAGGUUCACCCAUAAACUUAGGCGGGUUAAACUUUAGAAAUCUUUCCAGAGCUCUAUCCUCUCCCCUAUCCUGGGCCCCAGGUUGGUUAAAUGGUCCAGGACCCUGUCUCUCCGCUAGACGUUCUAGGAUAUCAGUCAUCCUAUUGAUGGCAGUAGCCACUUGGUUACCCUCAACGUUUUCCUGUCCCUGGGUCGGUCCAGUUGCCGAACCCUGGUCAUCCCCCUGAGGUUGGGCCUGUCUAGACGCUCGCCCACGACCUCGACCACGACCUCGACCACUCCUUAGUCCCUCCAUUAGUCUAAAGGUGCCUAGUGCAAGGAAAUAAAUUAAUUUAACCAGCAAACAAGAAAUAUAUCGAAAUUAGAACUAACCAAGAAAGCAUUAAAAUUAACAAUAAUUUACAUUCAUGCAUGUCAAGUUCGUACAAUUAGCAAGUUAGGGACAAUUCACAAAAUAUAGCACACAGGUGCUCAGAAGUAUACUUCUAGUCACAGAAGACUAAAGUAAGAACAAGUGCCCAAAAGUAGGCCACACAAGCAUGCAAAAUACAAUGGCCUCAGCACUCGCGUCACCCUAACUAGUCCUAACUGUACCAGUCAAAAGUCAAAAGGGGUCAACGACCAAGAUCCUAGUCCAUAGUAGGGCUAUCAGGAGGAACCUCCUCCUCGGGAUCCUCCUCCGGAUCCUCCUCCUCAUCAUCAGGAAUCACCGCAGCAGCGUCCUCAACCAGACUAGUAGCAUCAACCAGCAUCUCGAAAGCCCGAGUACGGACAUCUCGUGCUAACCUAAUGAGUCGAGCCCUAGUAUCCCGAAGCUCCUCAUUAACCACUGCAGAUGUGGCUACCUCACCCUCUAGCACCUCCUCAAGCUCAGCAAUCUGCUCACCCUGAGCGCCCACCAUCUGCCUAAGCUCAUCUACCUCAGCCUGUAGAUCUCGGUUGGCAUCCACCAACUGACGACGCUCGUCGUCCAAAGCAAACACUAGAUGGUUCGGGUAGGCGAAGGUCAACCUACACGAACAUCGAGGGUAUCUGUCAUAGGGUGAGUAGCGUACACGAGCUCCUCCUGCUAUAGAUCGGUAGUAGAUAGUCCUAAGGGGCUCGUAAUGACCAUUCGCAUGGCCAUUCCCGUUAGCUGCCGGGGCUCCGUUUCCAUCAGCCAUCCCUGCAAAAUAAUAACAAUAAUAAUAUUUUUCAGGUUAGAAACUUAAAUCACUACUCAGUUCCAAUAUCCUGCAAUGCAUGUCUAUCUUAAUAGCUGGUUCAUCCCAUCCGUCACUUGAGGUAGGACUAACUUAGUUGCUAGCUCGUCUCAAGUAUCACUUAGGGUAGGAUUAAGUUAUCCCAUAUCGAGUCUUAAAGGUAGAGUAUCUAAUAUGUCUCCCAUAUAGACCUCUAACCUAGUGCUCUGAUACCAACUGUGACGCCCCACAUCUCCCUAAGGCGGACCAAAGGGUAUCCGCGGACGCCUGCUCAGCUCUCGCCAGGACUCAAGCAAUUCCAUUCAAUUUAAAACCGAAUUAAGCACUUCGAUGAGAGCAACAUGAAUACAAUAAUGCGGAAGCGUUCAAGCUUAAUAAGUCACUUAAUGUAUAACCAGUACAUCGGGUAAUCAUGAAACGACUUCAAUUCAAAGUACACGUCAGGGCCCAAACAUUUCAAGUUUACAAUUUCCAAAAGUACAACCCAAACCAGGGCCUAGUCAAAAUAUAUAACAGGAGUCUUAACAAAAUUACAACGGAUGGUUUCUCCAUAUUUCUCCAAGAGUCGGUCCUGUUAAGGAAAACAAAACUAUAGGGUGAGCUAAACGCUCGUGAGGCCAAGAACACACAUGCAAGCACGUAAUCAAAUAACAAUCCCAACUUUAAUAAAUAAAGCCAUGUCUUUUCAAUAAUCAAUCUAUCAAACAGGAAAAGUAAUCAGAAACAAUUCAAGGAUAUAGUAGCUCUCAGGAGCUAAGUUCCACUCGAUCUGUCGAUGUCAUUCGUAUACUUUCCCGCAUUGACCCUCCUGUCAACCGGGUCGGUAUUUCCAUUUCCGUAGAUCACCACUUUCUUCCCUCCGUCCACCGUACACCCCAAGGGCCCACAAGUCUAUUUUUAGGGCGAUACUCGACGAGUAUGCCAAGCAAGACCUCUUAUUAGGUCGAGCUUAUGUGUAUCUCAUGGCUCGUCCAAAUCCCCGACCAAGCCCAUUGCUGGCUCGAGUCUAAGGACGGCCUAUGAGUUUGGGCGUCCCCCAUUCAUUGGAAGGUCGAGGAGGUUCACUCCAACGACACAAGCAUUCAUGACAUAACAUUGCAUUUCAUUCAUUCAUUCAAUACAUUUCAUUCAUUCAUUUGAAAGUAGAACGAGUGCGAUAAAGUACGCACCCGCCCUUGUUUUUAAAACUUUCAACAAAUACCACAAAUAAGCAAGUAUCAAUAUUCACACACUUGACACUCACCGAGCAAUUCAAUAAGAAUUAUUUCCCGGAAGUUCAAGUGUCCACGGUGAGAUCCUCUUGAAGGUCUCCUUGCGCGCCUGGCAAUUUAAUAGCGAAUAAUCAUACAAUUAACCCACUUAUCAAGAAGAUUGUACAUUAGUACAAUCUAAGGAUUAUUUCGCAAAAAGGAACCUCAAUUACACGUAAAUCGAGGUUCAACUUGCCUUUUAUCAUGUACAAUAUUAUUUGAGUUUUGGUCAUGAAAAUCGUAAACAAAACGUUUAAGAACAUCAAAAGAAUAAAGAGUUUUUGAAAAACUCUAUUUCUUUGAAAUUGGAAAAUUUUCCAGUUUUUUGAUGAAUCUUUGAAAAAUCAUAACUCGCUCGGUAUAAGUCGAGAAUUGGAAAACCUUAUAGCGUUGGAAACCUCUUAGAGAGUACUAUAAGUUCCUAGAAGACACUUUUCCAUGAAUCGAAGUGGAAAGUGAUCAAAAAUGGGCUUGAAGACGCAGCUUCAGUUUACAAGGCAGAAUUAAGUUGGAUUUCGGCCAACUUUGAAAAUCCGGCACGAUUCACACGUUGCAAACCGGCCUCUGAAAUUUGCAGCUCAAUUAGUGUUGCAAGUGAAGUGUAGGACAAAACAAGCGGAUCAAAAAUCGGAGUUUCGAGCACCGAGAUACGGUAGCCCGAAGUUGAGCAAGUUCAAGACUGGAUGAGAAUUUUCCAGAUUUGAACCUCUAACUUUAGUAAUUCAAUUGGGUAUCGAAACGAACUUAAAUCGGCACCAAAAUUGGCAGUAUUUCAAUACUAUAUUGAAAGUAUCUCUCUAUCGAAUUUCGGGGAAAAAUACCUUCGGCAAGGUAGUUAAUGAGCCAACCGAAGUUCAAGAAAAAUCCUAAGGCAAACUGCCUUUGACUUUCAUUUUCCAAAUUUUCCAAUCGUUUAACCAAGAAAGUUAUCCAACCAUGGUUCAUUUGUGAAAUAAGGGUCUAAGAUAUACCCAUGAUACCUUUGGUAAGUGUUUAAUAUCAAAAACAUCAACUAACAAGUUCACUCCAAGAUUUUGUUCCAAACCAGUCCAAACAUUAGGGUUUUUCCAAAACAGAGCAGUCCACUUGAUUCAGUCACAACUCAGUCAUUAUAGCUUGAAAUUGAGCAUGGCUUAUGCCGUUGGAAAAUAAAUUCAUAGAGUUAAAAUAUCACAGAAGAAAUCAUUUCCAAAUUCGGCACUCAUCUGGUUCAAAUUUGGGCAUCAAGUUGCUGCCUGAACACUUCAUUCCAGAUGAACAGAGCAACAGGACAGCGAACUUAAAACAUUUGGUUCGGCUUGGUCACAAAGAAUCAGAACGUGCAUUAUAUACCAAAUUAAAGCUAGGAAGGUCUAGUUUCAAACGCCACCGACGGCACAUGAUUUCGACAUCCGAGGACAGAGUUAUGGCCAAAUUACUACUGCUGGUCAGAGCAUACGCGAAUCAGUUUUCCAGAUUUGCUGGUUUCUAAAAAAAAUUCAUUUGCCCAUUCAAACCUCAUUAUUUUUCAAUGAAAAUUUUCACACAUCUAAUACAUCCUACAAACAUCCAAUUCAAGCAAUUAAACCAUUAAAAAUUGGCCUGGAAAUGGCCGAACAUGGCAGGGGCAAAAUCGGAAAGUUUAGCUUCUUACACCCAAUGAAGUUUCCACUAAUUACCCAUCACUAAUGCAUCAUUAUAAUCACUAAACCAACAAUAUAAUCACCAUUAAUCAUCACAUCAGCAACAACAACCCAAGUGUGGGAAUUCCAAGAGCCCACAAUCACAUUUUUACACCAUAAUCAAGUAACUAAGUGCAUGCAUGAGCUUAAUCUUGUCAUAUAAUCUCCAAAAGAUAAGAAUCCAAGGGUUGAUCAUUACCUACUCCUUUGGUUUGCAAGGUCAGAAUUUUCGGCCCUCUUGAAGCUCCAAAGAAACCAUGAAAGCUCCCUUCCUCCUUAGCUAGAUGUAGUCUCCAAGUGGUUUGCUAAGAGAUCUCCAAGUUUGGUGUGAUUUGGGUGGAUUUUAGUGCAUGGAUUGAAGAUGAAAAAUGAAGAACAAUGGAGAGUUCUUCUCCUUUCUUGUUGCUCGGCCAAGUGAGGUGAGGAGAGAGAGAGUGCUGAUGCAAUUGGCUUCCAAAGGAAGAUUCUUUGUGUGGUGCAAAAUGCACCUCAAAGUCAACUUGAAAUAGUGCAAUUUAGGGUGCGUUUGGACUCGAUUUUCUCGCGCGUUUGGUUCACUAGUGCACUAAACCUCCAAAGCAUAUAUAUUCUUGUAAAUAUUAUUCACUCUUAAUUGUCCCGAAAUAAGGGUCUAAAGUCCUUCAAUUGAAGUCGCGCGUGUGAAAACGCGUACCGUCAAAUUUUACCGCUAUAAUGCGGAACUUUCGAAAAAUUCCUAUAACGAUUGCACUACUAACUAUCACUUGAAUAUUUAUUCAUAAAAUUACCUAUUUUAGGACCAUAGUACAAGCCCCCAAUAUUCCAAGCUUAUUGGGCUACUACGCGGAUAAAAUCUCCAAGUACUAUUCACUAUUUUUACUAAACGCGCUCUAGGAAAUUAAUUUUCGAAACGAAUCAUUUUAAAAAUAUAACGAAGUUAUAUUACCACUUAUUUAGGUCUAAUAAGACUAGAAAAUAUUCUUUGGAAAUAAAAUUCAAUUAAAUGAUUUAUUAAGCCAUAAAUUAGGCAUAAAAUAAUAGUUUUUGCGAGUCCUCACACAUUCAAAUUCAAAAUGAACUAAAGCAACAAGAUAACCAUAUAAUCCUUUCACUUUGCAGCAUAAAACUUUAGAUUUAAACACUAAGAGCCGGACAAAAGGGCAUUCAAAUCUGGACAGCUCAUGGUUUUUCCUGCUACUUUGAGAUUUCAGCAAUUACAUCCGGCAAAUUUUAAUACAAUAACCUCAAACCAGAAGCAAUUCUAAGUUCUACAUAAGCUUGUCAUCCAAAAACUUAGUAAUCAUGCAAGAGAAAAGCAAUAAGGAUGAACAAAACACAUACAACAGCAAGAGAUGCAGUAGACUACAAGCAUCAGCGACAAAACUACAAGCAUCGGCAGCUCCAUGCUCCAACAUGCGAUUGAGUGGAAAUAUGCAGUAAACACAAGGAGAAAAACUUGCGGCAAAUAUGCACACCCCUACCAAACCGAACGCUACAGAACUCACAAACUUUAAACAAGCCUAAACUUUAUCAAACAGAGGAAAGAAACAAGAUUUGUCCAUGACUGCUGCCAUUCUUCAUUCCGACCAAAAUGCAUUGACGUGGAACAACCCGAACACAAAUGCAAUGACCUCAAGACCAUGUUGCUAACAUCAUGAGGGUAUGAAGCAAACAUCAUUGACUGAACGUAAAAACAGAAAGUGAACAAAGAUGAAAAAAAAGAAACAGCGAGUUCUUCAUGCACUCGAAGAAAUGAGAACCGACAUGAUGAAAUAUUCAUCAACCCAAUGAUAAACUUCAAUGCAAAUUCAUGCAAAUCAGGGGAACAAGGAAUACAGACAGAGGGACAUGCAAAUAAUCGAAAAGAAAUGGGGACAACCAUCUGAUGCCAAUGCAAACCGGCAAAAUUUUGCCGCAUGGAUUCUGGGCAUGACUUAUAGUCAUCAAAGAGGAUCUCAACAUUCAACAGGUUUGCCAAAGAAAGACAUUUAAACGAUAGGAACCCAUAAAACAACGGGGACAGGCAAGGGAAAGUAGUGGGUAAAAACUGGCGAGUGAUUUGCUAUCUAUCCAUGCUCAGAUUCUUAGGCCAAUCUAGCAAACUGGAGAAAUCAUAUUCUUCUAGUUCAAACAUUACUCAGUGAAUCAGCAAACAGGGCAAACAUUUUCUUUUGCCUUUAAUUGUUUUCAAGAAAAGUAGCUCCACGGCAAACUAUAUCAGCAAUUUUUUGCACACCACAUAUGAAACCAAUAUUUGAUACAAAAAAAAAAAACAGGAACCGACUCCCAAAUUCCCUGUUUCUUUUCCUCUCUCCAACUAACAAACACAAGCUAGCCAGAAUCCCUCUCACACUUGUACAAAAAGAUGCACGAAACCUUAUCUUUUGAUUCAAGACUUUGUUUAGGCAUUUUAUCAAACAUUAAAUGGGCAUGGAAAUUUCAGCAAUUCGUUACUCAAAUGAGGUCUCGGUUGGCCCCAAAACUGACAGUAAAACCAGAAAUUUCAACCCAAUUAACAAACAAAGCAGUAAUCUUUCAGAAAACGUAGGCAACUCCACCAAGAAAUUGUGAUAAAAAAAACAGAGUUUCGAGCGUCCAUGCUUAAAAGAAAAGACUGAAUUUUGAAGGGAGAAGACAGCUUACAAAACUCUUGCUUGAUGAAAAUUCGCAGACGAUGAUGGCGGGUUCGGUGAGGUGGUGGCUCCUUUCGCUUGGCCUAUUUCAUCUAGCGAGCACGAGACCUUGAGUGAAUCUUGGUAGGCUUCCUGAUGAUGAACCCAUCCUUGACCAGCUUUCUUGUGUUUUGAUGAAAAUCCGCCAUGGAGAUUUCGUUGACUUCAUUGGGGUCUAGCCAGACCUUGCCUCUGCCGCACUUGGGGACGCUGGCGGCGAGUCGCUUCUGAAGCUUCAGCGACACCAUCCCUUUGUCCGUCGGUCUGUUUCCUCUUCCUCUGGUUUUUCCUCAGCUCCCUAGCCGUCGUAUCCUGUUUCCCUGCUCUGCCGCCCCUGUUCUGGUUUCUUCUUUUUUUUUCUUUGUUUUUGGCUUCCCCCUUUUGUUCGGUUUUCUUUUCUGCCCCCCCCUUUGCCCUUGCCCUCUGUUUUAUUUACUUUUUUAGCUCUCUUUUUCUAUCUUUCUUUACUCUCAAUGAAGCCCUCCUUCUCUCUUGUUGCUCUGUUUCUUUCUUUUUUCUGAUCUUUUUCCCGAAGUCCCUUCCUCCAGCUCUCUCUCUCGCUCUAUUUUCUUGGGCUUGCGGCUGUUUGCAUUUUAAAGGCACCCCAAAAAACUAAACCCAAGAUGAAAAGCUAAGAUUUCAAACCCCAAAAUAGGCUUAUGUGUCUUGUUCUUGUCCCUUUGAUUUUUUUUAUUUUUUCAAUGAAUUAAAUAAUAAUAAAGCAAUUCUCUUAACAAACAAUAAAAAUAAGAUAAAAUAAACAAAAAACAAAAAUAAAUAAAACAAAAAUAAACAAAAAUCACCUAAAUAAAUAAAUAAAUAAAAGCUAAAAUUUUGGUGUCUACAGCUGUUUCCCGCCAAAAAUUUUUCUUUUGCCGUUUGAAAUCCGAAUCUGUCCCAAAUCCAACCAAACAUCAAUCAAACAUAUACACCUUGAAAUUUAGGAUUUACAAGCCAAAAUAGCAUACCAAAGUUACCAAGCUCAUUUACACAUGUACAGGUUCAAUCUUACAAUUCAAAAGAGGGAACGGAUCAAAACACAUCUAGGGUUUCAUUCAAUGAGGAGCUAUACAAAAUGUAUUCACAACUAGCUCAACUCGGCAUCCUACUGUCAAAGCCAUUCCAAAAGUAUUCAAAUUCCUGUAAGGAAAACAAAAGGAAUAGAGUGAGCUUACGCCCAGUCAGAUACUAUCACUCAAGCAGCAAAGUUCAUAUAAGCAUAAAGUUUUUCAUUCCAAUGCAUCUAAUAGGAAAUAAGCCAAGAGUACACAUCAAUAGAAUUGGUAAAAGGAUACGGACGGCUCUCAAGAGCCCUUUCCUGGCUUGUAUUCUUGAUCGGACCACAUUGACCCUCCGUCAAUGUUUAAAGAGUAACCAACCGCAGGCUCCACUUUACUUCCAUUCCUUCCACCCAACAUACCCCUACCGGGCCCGAACUCCAAACAGUUUAACUUUGGUAAUACUCGAGUAUACCGGAAUCGAGAGUCUCAUACUACAAGAUUCCAUAUAACAGUCCCCAUGGCUCGUCAAUUUUCAUGACCAAGCCCUCGCUGGCUCGAUUCAAUCGACUACCAAUGGGGUUGAUCUUAGUAGCAACAGUAAUGGCCGUUGGAUACUCGUCCAAACGACACCAAAUCCAAUAUUUCAUGUACCACAGUAAACAGUCAUAUAUAAUACAAAAGGGUGAGAGCGAUCAAGUACACCCUCACUUUAAUCAGUUUCAACUGUACAAAUAAGCAUUCAAGACAUCAAGUUCAAAUGUAACAAAUCCACAUAGUAACAAGCAAGUGAGUAGUACACUCACCAAGCAAGCAAAUGAAAUUUCAUAAGCUUCCGCCCAAAGAGCGUCUUGAAUCACCGUCACGCCCUAAAAUAUUCAAACAAGCACAAUAAGACUCGAUUACAAGUCAUAAACCAAUUCCACAUACUACCAAAAAUAAGGCUCCAUUAGAACGUAUAAGUACUAAAGUAAGCUAGGGAAAGUCCGGAAAUGAAAGUUAAGCCCUAAAACCCAAAAAUAGUUUUGACAUUGUUUAGCAUAUUGGACACAACCGACACUACGAUUAUCGGAUGGAUGUACAAUAUACACUGUUUCGAAGCUUAAAAAAAGGGCUACAAUGUUGAAGAAGGCCACUCAGUCCAGUUUGUAGUGCAACUAGGUCAAAAUUCCAAUGUACCAAACUAGAACCGCAUUAACAGGUUAGCGAACCGCAUUCUGGUUAAAUAACCAUAAUUCAGGCUACGAAAGUCCAAUUCAAGUGAUUCCAAAGCCAUCCGAAAGCUAAGAUACCAGGCUAUAUUUCUUAAGAAGACAUCAACAACCAAAUCAGUAGUAUUCCCGGUCAAACUAACCAAUUACAGACAUGGAUUAUCAGUUCCGGACAGAAACAGGGCAGUAGGGGUAUUUCGGUCUUUUCACAGGCUACGUUGCUCCGAUUGGGCUGAAAUUUUGCAGGAAACUAUAAAAUAUCAUUCUCUACAACUUUCAUGUUUUACCCAAGGCUAAUUCGGCCUCUAACUAGGGGAAAUAGUACCGGGUAGAAUGGGGUUAAUUGAAACCCUAAUUCCAAAAUUUCCUUUCAAAGCGGAAAGUUUCCGCAAAUAGCCACAAUUUACGCAGUAUAGCUUCAUUCUAAACCAUUCCCAACCAUCAUCCAUGGCCACACAAUAUAAAACAUAUAAAAACAGAAAAAUCAUGAAUAAUUAGAAAAAUUCACCAAUCUCAACCAAAAUCAUGAAAUAGCCCACAAAAUCACCUCUUAGACUACCACAAGCCACUAAUUACACAUCAUUAGAUAGAAAAGAGAGGUUCCUUAGCUACUCACCUUAUCAACCAAAGAAAGGAGACAACUUAGCACCUUAGUCUUCCAAAUCACCUCAUAAUCACUAAACUAAGGGUUUUUAUGGAGAAAAUUCAAGAUUAAUCGGUUGGUUUGUUGGAUUGAGCAAGAUUGGAGCAAGAAAUUGGAGAGCUUUUCUUUUCUUUUCUUCCUAGAGAGGGCCGGCCAUGAAGCUUACAAAUAAGGAUGAUUUUUGGGUAAUGUUUGAUUAAAUUGGUAAAAUAGUGAAUAGUGUGGUCAAAGUCCAAGGGUUAGUCACCAAGUGACACUUGUCACUUCAAUUAAUACAUGGUUAUCCUUUUGUUCCUCUCACACCAAUUCAUCUAGUGACCUCCAGUUAUCUCUUAACACCUGCUAAAAUAAACCGGAUAUCCAAUACUUAACCUAACUGGCCGAAUUUUACCGAACUUUCCGCACUAGCGGGUCCCACGUCCGGUAUACGCUCUUAUUUUCUCAAAACCUAACCAAUACUAGAAAAUUCAUCUAAAAACUGUAUUUACUCAUAAAAAUUAUCUAGAAAAUUUUUCUAAUAAAGAAAAUGCAGAAAAGCAUGCCAUUAAAUAAAAUAAAACCUAGCAAAUGAGAAAAUUUACGGGGUCUCACACCCUCUCCCCCUUAAAAGAAUUUCGCCCUCGAAAUUUCUCACCUUAACUCAUGAAAAGUUCAGGGUAUUUCUUUUGCAUCUCUUCUUCCACCUCCCAGGUAGCUUCCUCUACCCCAUGGUUUCUCCACAGUAUCUUAACCAACGGAAUCUACUUGUUUCUCAAUUCUUUAACUUUCCGGUCAAGCAAUUGGACAGGUUUCUCUUCGUAAGCGAGCGAUUCAUCUAUAUCAAUUUCCUCUGGCUGUAAGAUAUGGGAUGGGUCGGGGUAGUACUUCUUAAGCAUCGAGACGUGGAAGACGUCGUGAAUUCGAGAGAGACUGGACGGUAGUUCCAGGCGAUACGCUACCUUACCAACCCUUUGGAGAAUCUUGUAAGGUCCAACGAACCUCGGUUGGAGCUUCUUUCCUCUACUUGCUGUGAUGCUCCGUAAUGGUGUGACUUUAAGAAACACAUGGUCCCCAAUUUCGAACUCCAAAUCUUUUCUUCGAUUGUCUGCAUAGCUCUUUUGUCGGCUUUGAGCAGUUUGGAGUCGUUGUCGUAUCAACUUGACCUUUUCUCGAGCCUCCUCCAUCCAUGGAAUAGUUGCUGGAUCUAGCGCCUUUCUCUCGCCAACUUCGUCCCAGUAGAUCGGUGACCGGCAUUUUCGUCCAUAUAGUGCCUCGUAUGGAGCCAUUUGAAUUGACGAAUGGUAACUGUUAUUAUAUGCAAACUUCACUAAGGUCAUGUGUUGAUCACAGUUACCUCCAAAAUCCAGAAUGCAGGUCCGUAACAUGUCCUCGAGAGUUGGAUUGUUCGCUCCGAUUGUCCAUCCGUCUGAGUGUGAUAGGUAGUGCUUAAAUUGAGUUUGGUCCCCAAAGUCUCUUGAAACUUCUGCCAAAACUGCGAUACAAAACGGGGAUCUCGAUCGGAGACGAUGCUCACCGGAACGCCAUGUAACCUUACAAUCUCGUCCAUGUACACCUGAGCCAAUUUAUCCAUGGAAUACUUCAUGUUUAUUGGCAGGAAAUGGGCCAAUUUAGUUAAUCGAUCCACGAUUACCCACACGGCAUCAUGUCCUCGCUGUAUUCGUGGCAAUCCUGAAACGAAAUCCAUGGUAAUGUUCUUCCACUUCCAUUCGGGUAUCUGAAGGGGUUGUAGUAAGCCUGAUGGUUUUUGGUACUCUGCUUUAACUUAUUGGCAAACGAGACAUUUUUGCACGUACAGAGCGAUUUCCUUCUUCAUAUUGUCCCACCAAUUGGCUCCUUUGAGAUCCUGAUACAUCUUGCUACUACCCGGAUGGAUUGUAUACUUGGAUCGGUGAGCCUCCUCUAAAAUCUCCGUCCUUAAUGCUUCCUCUUUGGGUACCACCACUAGGUUCCGGUAUCUUAAAAUUCCCUCAGGACUAAAGUUGAAGUCAGUUGAUUCCCCUUUUUCCACCUUCUCCCCCCAUUUCCUCACCAUUGAAUCCUCCUUUUGAGCUCCUUUUAUCCGCUCCAAGAGGGUGGAGGUUACCUUAAUGUUGCCAAAAACUACCUUAUGACUCCCAAGACAGGGUUUCCACUCACAAAUGGAUUCCAACAAAUCCCACUCUUUAAUCAUUAACCCCGUUACCUGAACCUUGCGACUUAAGGCAUCGGCCACCACGUUCGCUUUCCCCGGAUGGUAGUUGAUAGUGUAGUCGUAAUCCUCCAGAAAUUCUAUCCAUCGCCGCUGCCUCAUAUUCAACUCCUUUUGUGAAAAGAGGUACCGAAGGCUCUUGUGGUCUGAGUACACCUUGAAUGUUACCCCGUACAGAUAGUGCCUCCACUUCUUCAGAGCAAAAUCAACCGCGGCUAAUUCCAGAUCAUGGGUUGGGUAGUUCUGCUCGUGGGGUUUUAACUUUCUAGAAGCAAAUGCUAUCACAUUUCGGUUCUGCAUUAGCACACAACCUAGACCUUCCUAUGACGCGUCAGUAUAAACAACGAAGCCGUCAACUCCGUUUGGCAGAACUAAAACCGGCGCCAUGGUCAACCUUUUCUUUAAUUCUUGAAAACUUGUCUCACAUCAGGCAUUCCAUACGAACCGACCAUGUUUCUUCGUCAGGUCAGUUAAAGGACCUGCUAAUUUGGAGAAGUUUUUAAUAAAACGUCGGUAAUACCCAGCCAUCCCUAGAAAACUACGAAUCUCUGUGGGGUUUUCUGGCCUCUACCAAUUGGUCACGGCCUCUACUUUCGCCGGGUCAACCGAGAUGCCUUCUUGGGAAAUCACAUGCCCUAGGAAAGAGAUUUUCUCCAACCAAAACUCGCACUUACUGAACUUGGCAUAUAACUGAUGCUCUCUUAGGGUUUGCAAAACAAUUCUCAAAUGCUGCUCAUGCUUCUCGCGAGAUUUGGAAUAAACCAAGAUGUCAUCAAUGAAAACAAUGACAAAUUGGUCCAAGCAGGGCUUAACCCUAUGCAUCAAGUCCAUGAAGGUGGCCGGAGCAUUGGUUAAUCCAAAGGGCAUAACCGCGAACUCGUAAUGCCCAUAUCUCGAGUUGAAAGUGAUUUUCGGAAUAUCCUCCUUCCUAAUUAGCAACUGGUAAUACCCUUGGCGGAGGUCUAGUUUCGAGAAGACCACUGCUCCUUGCAACUGGUCGAACAACUCAUCAAUGUGGGGCAGUGGAUACUUAUUUUUAACCGUGAUAUUGUUCAGGCCCCGAUAGUCGAUACACAUCCUCAAAUUUCCGUCCUUUUUCUUUACAAACAACACAAGGGCCCCCAAGGAGACCCACUCUCUUAAAUGAACCCCCGCUCCAAAAGGCCUUGUAAUUGCAAUUUCAGCUCCUUCAGCUCCGCAGGGGCCAUUCGAUAUGGGGUUUUUGAGUUAGGCGAGAUCCCCGGUAACAAGUCGAUCUUAAAUUCUAUCUCUCUUUCCGGAGGUAGGGCUACUAACUCAUCAAGGAAUACAUCCGAAAAUUCCCGUACUAUGUGCACAUCCUCUACCUUCAAUUUAUCCGUGGGGGUAUUGAUUAGAAAGGCUAAAAAUUCUUGCGCCCCUCUACUUAGCAGUUUUCUAACCCGAAUGCCCGAAAUCAAAGCAGAUGAGGCUAACCUACCCUUUAUGUCAAACCUUAAGGUUGCCUCACCAGGAAUGCGGAAUUCUACCACUUUCUUUUUACAAUCUAGUUGGGCAUUAUACUUGGCUAGCCAGUCCAUACCCAAGAUCACAUCAUACCCCUUAAUGGAUAGGCUUAUCAAAUCUCCUAACAAUCGCUUCUCUCCUACCCACACUUCACAAUCCUUAUAAACCAUACUAGUAACCAAUCGUUGAUUCCCCGUAGGUGUACCAACUUCUAGGUCGAAUGGUAUACUACCAGGUUUUAUAUCAAUGCCACACAUGAAAUUAGGGUUAACAAAGGAAUGGGUGGCACCAGGAUCUACUAAAACCUUUGCAAAGCGGUGGAAAAUAGGGACCGUACCUUCUACGACCUCAGAGGAAUCUGAGACUUGUUGAGGCUCUAACGAGUACACUCGACUGGUACCUUAGGUUUAGUCCUUUCUCCCUUCGCUGGUACAAAAUUGGUCCUCAGCGGUUGUUGGCUUCCCCUUCCAUCUUGUUUUAGGACCGGACAAGUGGCCAAUCGGUGGUCUGUACUCCCGCAGCGUAAACAUUUCCCUUCCUUCCUCCAGUAAUUAUCUUCCGUGUGGUUUGGCUUCCCACAAUGCCCACAGGGACCGCGAGGUGCUGAAGCUGAACCUCCCUGAAAAUUUCCUUUUUGGCCUCGCCUAGCUUGGCCACCCCUAGACGGAGUCCCUCUGCCUACUCCAGUCUGCCGUCCACCUCCAGACCCCCGUCCAUACUUGGGAGGAGCACUCUUCUCCCCCUAUCUUGAACUGCUCCCAGGAAAGCCCCGUUUCUUGGCCUGGAAGUUCCUUAUUUGGAGCCUAGCGCUUUCCACUCGUUGCGCCUUCUCGACGGCCUUGCUAAAAGUGUUAAUCUAGGCCACCGUGAGGUCCUUCUGAAUUUCUACGUUCAAACCCUGGAUAAAACGCUUUAUUCGCCGCUACUCGGUCAUGAUCAGCUCAGAAGCAAAUUUGGAUAGGCAGGUGAACUGACUCUCAUACUCCGCUACAGACUGGGCCCUUUGAAACUAGAAUCAUUGCCACCUGAAAGAGAAAUAGCUUUUAAAAUCGAUGUGACUCCAAAAGUAGCACCUAUCUCUAAGACACCAUAUAGAAUGGCUCCAUCUGAAUUGAAAGAGCUGAAAUUGCAAUUACAGGAUUUUCUAGAGCAAGGCUUUAUAAAAAAAAAAGUGAUUCACCAUGGGAAACUUCAGUGUUGUUUGUUAAAAAGAAAGAUAGGAGUUUAAGGUUGUGCAUAGACUACCGAGACCUGAAUGAUGUUACAUCAAGAAUAAGUACCCUUUACCCCACAUUGAUGAAUUGUUUGACCAAUUGCAAGGGGCGGUAGUAUUCUCAAAGUUGGAUCUCAGGCAGGGUUAUUGUCGCGCCCCAUUUUUGAUAAAUAAAUAAAUGGUUUGAAAAAAUGUAUUUUUUGAUUCAAUUUGUGAUUGAAAAAUGAAUUGUGUUUUAAAAGAAAAAUGGGUCUAAAUGGGGGUUUGAAAAUGCGACGAUUUGACCCAAAAUUAUAGUUUAAAAAGGGUUUUUUGAAACAAAAUACGGAGUCGCCACUUGGUAAUGAGUUAAGGUGUACCAAGUCACCCAAAAAAAGAUUUUUUUGUUUUUUGAGGAAAAAUAGGAAAAAGUAGGAACAAACCCCUUUUAAACGACUCCUAAUCCACGUAAACCAAAGAAAAAGGUUCGGGAGUCACAUUUGACAAAGGGGAAGGCAAGGAUAAAAUCCAAGGCACCCCUUUGACCUAGCCAGGGCUAAUUGCAUGAUUUAAUCAAAGAUUUUCUUGUUUUAAUCAAAGAAUUUAUUACAUUUGGAUGCACUACAUGAAUGCAAACCCUAGACCUAGGGGUAUUGGGGGAAAUUUCUCUUCAAAGGUUGAGUGGUGCCAAUCACAUUAAUUGUGAAGCCCAAUAACGAUCCUUUGAAGGAGUCACGAAUAAUGCAAGUGGGAUGCAAAUGAAUGGAAUGCAUGUAUGCAAUGUGAGGACAUGAGUUUGAAAAAGUAAUAAAAGGCAAUAAUAUGUAAGUGAAAAUGUGCACGUGAGUGGGCAAGGUGCGGUAUGUGAAAUGAUAAUAUGAAGUACAUGUGUGCGAGUGAUGAUAAAAGUGUUCGUGUGCAAGUGAAGCAACAUAAAGGUGCACGUGUGAAAAAUAGGGGGAAAAAAUGAAAUGUGAUGGGGGUAUAAAAUGAUAGAGUGGAUUUAAAAAUGCAUGAGCCUAGGGAAUUCAUGCAUAUUGGGUACGGGGAGACCUAAAUCGUGACUCAAUUUGCCCUUUUAUAGAGGGAAUACAAGCGUGCUAAGGCUUAGAAAAAGCCACACUCGUCUAUAUCCCAUAUUUAAGGGGACUCUCAAGCAAAUGAACCCUAUAACUAGCAUGAUAUGCAAAAGUCCUAAAAUGGAGGGAAAAGGGGUUCAAGGGGCAUGCAAAAUGAUAAAACUAAAAAGAAUGCAUGACAUGUAAUGAACAUGCAAACAUGUACUAACGAGGGGAAAUCCCUAAGGGUCUAGCGUUGGACUAGCCCAUUCUAUGAAUUCCGACUAGCGUUGGACUAGCGGAAACGUACAUUCAUCCAUCACAUUCAUUCAUGGCUAUCGAAAGCGAGUAGACAUGCCAAACACUCAUAAACACAUAGCACAUAACAUUUAGCAUGCUCGACUAGAUGCAAGGGCCUAACAAAGCAAAGUAACAUGUAGCAACUAAGCAUGCAAGACACAUAAAACAAUUAAAGCCCUAACUAUUACAUUUGCUAGCUAGGCACAUGACUUCGAUAGGUCUUCAUUGAAUGCUCCUCCAAGCCCUAUCUAUUACAUUAGGGAGACCCUACUACAAUCUAAAAGGGGGAAAAGGAAUAAAAUAAUUAAAUCCCUAACUAUUACAAGCCAAGAGGUGUACACAUACCCCAUAAAGAAUAACUUAAAUAAAAAGCAAAAGUAAAUGACAUAAAUAAAAGAAAUUAAAGAAAGGCUAGGAAAGCAAAGUAGACAUGUAUUUCUCACGUAGCACGUUGGUUCACAUAGGAGAGGCAAAAAAAAAAGAUAAAAGAAGUUAUACCUCCCUUGAGUUGGAGCUCUAAUGAGGUGAAACUACUAAUUUACCCUCCAAAAUAAAAGAGAUGGUCAAGGUACCAAUUUAUUUGAAGAAAUUAAAGAAAAUAGGCAAACACAAGCUCAUUCGGUCAUAAAGCCCCUAAAGUCAUGACUUAAGUGCAAUUGACAAAGCAUGGUAGCUAAUCGAAGUAAAACAAUCAAUGAGAUCGCAAAAACUAAAGCUGCCAAGGACCAAAUUGAAGACAUCAUUCAAUUGGUUGGGUCAUAGUAGAACAAAGGAGGACUUGGGGGGUCAAAAAUGCAAAUUCCACAAGGUUUCCAUGCAUGCAUACGAGGAAGAUUUAAGCUUCUGCAAUUGAGUAAAAAAAUCUUCUGCAUUUCGUUUCACAAAUGGAGAUUUAUCCAACUUCACACUGAGCAGCAAAGCCAAUAACUUUCACAAUCAACAAUCGAAAACAUAGCAGCAAACUAUACAAAUUCUGAUGAAAAAUUCAUGCAAACUCAAAGAAAAUUUCUGCAAUAGCAAGUUUCUGCAAUAUUUUGUUCUUAUGCUUUCAGCCAACAAAACAACUCCACAAUGCACAGAUUGUCUAUCAAAAAUCUGACUUUGCACAGCUUCAAACUACACAAACUACAUACCAAUCACCAUUCAAACAGGUAGACACCUUAGAUAGAUCCCCUACUCAUACAAAAAUUCUGGAAACAUACAAAAACUUGAAGAAUACAAACUGCCGUAACUUCCUGCUGCAAAUUUGCAGCUCAAACACAAACAGGCAUUUUAGCACAAAAACUCAAGAAAACCAGCAACCAAAUCGUCAUACACCCCAAGCUUCUAUUCCCAAACCCUCGAAAGAUUCACAAACUCCUUAACCAAAACCCAAAUGAAACCCAACUUUACUUAAAACAGAAAUCAGUCAGCUACGCUUUUAGAAACAGAGCAACAUCGGAUGAAAGCCAUAAAGAAACUACUAAAUCCCAUGAAACCCCCAAAACCUAGCAUCCGAUUAUCUAUAGACCCUAUUUAUAUAUAUCUUGAGCCCUCAAGACUGGACCUUUGAAACAACAGAAAUCAUCAAGGCGGAAAUGCCAACAAAAUGCAUAUGCGAUGAAGAAAACCCAUUCGGUGGUAAAAAAAAUUAUUGGGAGUAUCAGAUUAGCUAAGUAAAGGAUAAUUUAUUACCUUGUGAUGAACUUGAACGAAGUUAACAUCAAAGAGACGAACAGAUGAUACUCCACAAGAAUCUUCGCGAGUUCACCGAUGCACCGGCAGAGACGAUCUGCGACUUUGGAGGGCAGAUUUGAAGGCUUUCCUGAGGGUUUUUGUUUUUUUUUUAACAAGAUCUGAACAAGAAUUUCUCUCUUGAUGUUGGUAAGUGCACAACAAUCCACAGUUUGGUGAAUGAUGCCGAAUUUAUGGAGAAAAUCUUCGCUCAAGAGGGCUGGAUGUUCAGCCUUUUCCAAGGAAAAAACGCAGCAUGCAUUCUACCUUUGUUGCUAUCGCGUCUUGCCGUUCCUUUUUCCCAACCACUGCCCAGAUUUUCAGUCUAUCUUCCUCUCUAAUCUGAGUUUUCCUAGUUUUUUUUGGUUGUCACUCGAUGCCCCCUUUCUCUCUUCCCUCUUGCUCUCGGCUCAGCUAUCUCAGUUUUCAGCCGUCCAACCAAUUUCCUCCCUUUUUCCUUUCUUUCCGAUCCUCUCCCCUUUGCGGCUCUCCAUCCCCUUUUCUAUUUAUAUCGGAACCUCCAACCCUAAAACUCAGUCCUUUCUCCUAUAUUUGCAGCCUAAGGGGCUCCCGAGCCUUUGUUUGCAAGCUGCGUAAAAACGCAGCUUGCAUGCCGCGGCCUUCUUCUCUUUUUUUUUUUUAACUUAAUUAAACAAAAAUUGAAAAUAGUAAAAAUAAAUAACAAAACAAAUUAAUUAACAUUAGAAACAACAAUGUGCAAUUUUCAUUUUUCAUUUUCCAUUUUCAUUUUUCCUUCUUUUUUUUUUCUCUAAAUGAACCAAACGAAAGUAAAAUAAAGUAGGAAUGACUAAAAAUAGAUAAAUAUACCCAAAUAAAACAAAAUUGCUAUUUUUCUUUUUUUCCUUUUUUUCUUUUUUAUGAUUUUUCUGUUUUCCUCUUUUUUUCAAGAAAUUCUAUACUAAAACUUAAAAAUAAAAAUAAAACUAAAAACUAAAACUAACAAUCGAAUAAAACUAACACGAUAAAUAAAAAACUAAAAAUAAACAGUAAAUGAAAUUACACCAAAAAUUUGGUGUCUACAGUUUGCCCCUCUUUGUCUGAGUUUUGGAAAAACUUGAGACAAAGAAGUAGACACCAAAUACUUACCUGCGUUAUUCGGCUGCGAAUUACUCAAACGAUGGGGACUGACCCCUGACAGGAAAUUUUAAAAUCGGGACUGACCCGAGACAGAAAUUUAAACGGAAUAGACCCACGGGAUAGACCCGAAACGAAAUGUAAAUGGGAUAGACCCAGACAGAAAUGUAAAUGGGAUAGACCCAAACAGAAAAUGUAAAUGGGAUAGACCCACGGGAUAGACCCGGACAGAAAUUUAAAUGGGAUAUACCCAAACAGAAAUUUAAAUGGGAUAGACCCAAACAGAAAUUUAAAUGGGAUAGACCCACGGGAUAGACCCAAACAGAAAUUUAAAUGGGAUAGACCCAGACAAAAAAUGUAAAUGGGAUAGACCCACGGGAUAGAUCCGGACAGAAAUUUAAAUGGGAUAGACCCAAACAGAAAAAUGUAAAUGGGAUAGACCCAAACAGAAAUUUAAAUGGGAUAGACCCACGGGAUAGACCCGGAUAGAAAUUUAAAUGGGAUAGACCCAAACAGAAAAAAUGUAAAUGGGAUAGACCCAAACAGAAAUUUAAAUGGGAUAGACCCAAACAGAAAUUUAAAUCAUGGGACUGACCCGAAUAAGCUUUUAAUCAUGGGACUGACCCGAAUAAGCUUUUAAUCAUGGGACUGGCCCGAACAAAACGAAAAUCAUGGGACUGACCCGAAUAAAAUGAAAAUCGUGGGACUGACCCGAAUAAAAUGAAAAUCAUGGGACUGACCCGAAUAAAAUUUAAAUCAUGGAGUGCUCACUAGUGGGACUGACCCACGGCUAGUGGCAGAAUAAAAGGAAAUGCUCACUGGUGGGACUGACCCAACUCCAAUGGCAAUGAAAAUAAAAUGCUUACUGGCAGGACAAACCCAGCUCCAAUAGCAAUGAAAAUAAAAUGCUUACUGGCGGGACAAACCCACGCUCUAGUAGCUGUGAAAAUGAAAUGCUUACUGGCAGGACAAACCCAUGCUCCAGCAGCGGUGAAAAAUGAAUUGUUUAGACAAUCGGACAGCGGGAUCAAACCCGAGCCUGCCGUGAUGAACUUGAUUUGAUUUUUGACUUUUUGAUUUUUUGAUUUUUUUUAUUUUUGAUUUUUUGAUUUUUUUGAUUUUUUGAUUUUUCCUGACUGAGAGCGACUUGUCGAAAUAAUUUGCCUCAGUGUGAUGAAUUAGUCAGUGGGAUUAAACCCAAGCCUGCCCAAUGGGAAGUUGGUGGCACGAAAUCCAGGCCCAACGUGAUCUUGUGAAGUUGGCGGCACGAAAUCCAGGCCCAACGGGAUCUUGUGAAGUUGGCGGCAUGAAAUCCAGGCCCAACGGGAUCUUGUGAACAAGAAAUUGAAUUUGAUUUGUCAAGAAACAAGCAAUUAAAUUUGAUUUUUCAAGAAACAAGAAUUUGAACUUGAUUUUUGACUUUUGAAUUUUUUUGAAUUUUUCUGAUUUUUUGAGAGAAUCUUUUUCAAAAUAAUUUGCCCCAGUGUCGAGUCCAUUUUUCCCUCCUUCUUCUUGCUUCUCUUUGCAGUAUCGGCCUUCCGCCCCACUGGAUGCUUUUCGUCAUUUUGAACCAUGAAUACCUGUACAAGGGGUUCAUCAAAGUAUGACAUGCACGUAAAUUCCAGGAAAAGAGCAGCGGGAUUGAUCCGAAAAAUGUUAUUAUUUGAUUUUUAGACAAAAACCUCAAAUGUAUUACAAAAAAAUUUGCCCCAGUAUGGACUUAUUUCAUGAAAUCUUACAAAUAAAAUUUUGCCCCAGUGUGGGCUCCCUUGAUUGCAAAAAUUCGUUCAGAUGAUUUCCCAUUUAUUUGAACAAAGAAAAACCGUACUUUCUAAAAUUUAGAAAAGAAUGCACAUAUACAACAAUGUGAAGAAACUUUAAACAUCAAGUUUGAACUCAUGCAGAAAUUUCAUGAUGAAUUCCUCGAAGUAACACCAAAUUUAAGAAGAUUUCUUCCUCACUUUUAGCAUUGGUGUUUAGGGUAACGGGUCACAACUUCUGGUUGGCUCAUCUUUCAGGACCAAUCAAGUGACUUUAUUUUUGAAAUGGCUAAGGAAAUGGGAUGUCAGAAUCUGUCUCAUUUUUGUGCCCCAAUUGUAUGUAAUCCAUUCAAUGUCACAUCUUAGUGAAAGCAAAGAGUUUGUCACCCUUAUUUCUUAAGAAAACGUAGUCCACAUAUGAGCUUUAUAGGCUUGUAACAAUAUGGAUAACGAUAACUAAUCAUGUGGGAACAGGCUAUAGCCUUAAGAUCACAAGUGAUUGAUGGAUUUCUUAUGAGCAUAAUACUCACUUUGGAUUGUCAUGAAGGAAUAAGUCAACGAUGGACUUUAUUAGCUUGUAAUGUGGCUUGAAACGAUAGUUGAAGGAUAAGUCAAGGACAUUGCACCACAGAUCGCAUUUUUCCAAAAUUGCCCCUAUUUUGAACUCGAAGAUUCUGAACUUUGUUUGAUCACUCAAUAGGGACUUCACCAUCGAAUCUUUUGUAUUUCAUUUUUCCUUUUUGCUUUUCCGUUUUCUUUUCUUUGAUCUGGUGGGUUUUCCAUGGUGAGUAGCGUCAGCCCCCAUACUCAAGCAAUUCAGAAAUACAGCUAAAAUUUUCCAGCAUCAGAAAUUUUCUUGACAGGGCCAUUGCAAAGAACAGAAGUCAGGACUUUCGGUUUUUGUAAUGGGGUCAGGUGUGGUGUUUUAGAAAAGUUAAGGCUUGAAGGCAGAUUUUAAAAAUGGUUUAAGUAAUCUGAGAUCGCAUUGUUGUGCCAACCCUAUUUUAGGGUUAAAUCAAGACUUUGCCCCAGUUUAUGCUUAAUUGAGGCUUUUUCUCUUUCAUUUUCUUUCUUCUUUUGAUUUUUUUUGGCUUUCUACCAUUUUUGAACUUUCACAAAAUUUGCCCCAGUUUAUUUUUUGAACUGAGGUUCUCUUUUCUCUUUUCCUUUUGAUUUUGUUGCAUUGUCACUUUUCACUUCUUGAAACUUUUUCCUUUUCAAUUCAAACUUGCCCCCAGUGUGGGGUUUGCGAUUCUCAGGGGUUGCCAAACGAAAUAAUUUAUUCUGAUGGCUCAAAAGGGAUAACUAGGGAUAGAAUGUUUGAUUGGAAAAGAAGAGGGCCUGACUUUUGCUCCGUCCCUUACAAUAACUCUGAAAGGAAACUUUCGUUAAUGGGAAAUGUUUUUGCAUGUAUCUGAAUUAACCGACUGAGGAAGACCCUUGUUCAUCCAUAUUUGUGAAACAUAGGCGGUCCGUGCGGACAAAUCUCUUCCUUUUCUUCUCUUUUUUUUUUUCAAAAUUCUCCAAUCUCCUUCCCCAAUGUGGGGUGCGAUCAUAUGUACAAUCGAAAAGAACCACCAAUUUUUAGCUCAAAUGAGGAUGCAAGGGAUGAUUAGUGUUUAGGUUGUAGAAAUGACGGCCAAAGUAUCAUUCUUACACCUCAUGACAACCAAAGUAACGAAAUGGUCAUUGAAAAUCCAUUUCCUUUUGAUAUUUGAAAAAUUUUCCAAUAAAGGGUAGUGAUCAUCAAGGCGUUUAUUUGGAACGAAAUUAUUCUUUUAUAGGCUCAAAUGGGAGAGCAAAUGAUAAAAUGUGUAUAGGUAGAGAAAAGAAUGCUCAAAGUAUCAUUCCAAAUUUUCAAAACAAACAAGAAUAAUGCACAUUUUUGCUUUUCACUUAGAUGUGAAUUGAAUAUCAUUAAACACAGUGGAUGUUUCUCAAGCAAAGAUUGCCCCAACUUGCAAUUCAUCAAUCAAUGUGACCGAUUUUAUUUUGGGAUUAAGUGAAGGAGAAAGGCAUCUCAUCGGGCCUUUUGAGUGGCCAUUCACCCUUUUCCGAGCACUCUUAUUGUAUAGCUCAGAUUACCAACCUAGUGUACAUGAGGAUUUUUAGAGAGUAUACACUUGUGAAAUUCAGGUUAUAGGUUCGAAAAAAUCCCAAUUUGGUCUUAUUUCUCAAAAUUUAUCAUGAAAUCUCCAAUGAGUAAGAAUAAAGGAUGAAAUGUACAUAAAUAUACACAAAACAAUAAUUGUCCAAAAAUUUUAUUGCUGAAACAGUUUGAAACAAAAUUCCUCAUUCAAUUAUGAUACAAAUGAGAAAAGAGAAACUUGUAAAGGGCUCCUCGUAUACACUUUUCAUUUCCUUUUCUUUUGAAACAAAAUGUAUUAACAAAUCAAAUAAACAGAAUUUCCCUUUGGAAGACAAUUACAACAUCUCUUAGAGGCUUUAGCGUAGAGCUUCCAGAUAAAUCAUUUAUGUUUUCAUUGUAGGAUCUGCCCAAGAAUCAAGUAAUACUUGUAAUCUUCAAGCUUUAUUGGAUCAAAAUUAUCAGAUAUAGAAGAAUAUUUUCGCCUUAUUGAAACAUUUUUAUGAAUGCAAGGGAGGGGGGAAACAAAAGAAAAAUACCCUGAGUUAGUAAGAAAGAAUAUAAAAUCGGUAUGCAUGUCCUAUGGGGGGAGCCCUUUUGUGCCAAGGGUAGGCCUAGCAUGAAAAUGCAAUCCUCUAUGGUAGGCACUAUACCAUACCUGAUGGAUCCGAUCAACUUAUUGAGUGACAAAUAAAUUUGAAAAAUUUGGUCAAUUGGAGUGACGAAAGUCAUUUGUCAAAAUGAGGGCAACGUCCGAAUGGAUUGAUCACUUUUGAUCGAUACAAGAACUUGCAAAAACGCACGGGUUUGACCUUGACGAACCUUCUAUAGAAGAGAUUGGAAUUCGUUUUGACAACUUUUCUCAGUGAAGCACAGGUCAAAAACUCCAACUGAUCAAAUGGCUGGAUGCAAUGGAUGUUUUUCUCAAAAUCGACUAGGUUUUCCAUUUUGAAAUUCGACAUUGAAAUCCUAAUUGGUCAAAUGGGUUGAAUGAAAUUGACAAUUUAUUUAAAAUCGACCAGAUUAACCUAAAAAGGGAAACUAGUCAAAUGAAUUGAGUGGAAUUUAAUAACUUACUCAAAAUGGACCAAAUCAUCCUAAAAAAGGAACUUGAUCGAAUGAAAUUGAGAAUUUUAUUCAACAUCGACCGGAUCAUCCUAAAAAAUGACAUUAGUUAAAUGAAUUGAAUGAAAUCGAGAAUUUAUUCAAAAUUGACCAGAUUGCCCUAAAAAUGAGUGAAUUGGCCAAAUGAAAAUGAAAAUUUAUUCAGAAAUCGACCGGAUGACCCUAAAAAGGGUAAAUUGGUCAAAUGAGUUGAUGAUUUAUUCAAAAAUCGACCGGAUGACCCUAAAAAGGGUAAAUUGGUCAAAUGACCCUAAAAAGGGUAAAUUGGUCAAAUGAAUUGACGAUUUAUUGAAUGAAUUGGCAAAAUGGAUUGGUUGAAUUGUCCGGCCAUUGGUUAUUUCAAAAUUAUUAAGGCACAUUAGUCUAUGACCUUCUAAAAAUCAAAUUUUGGCCUCAAUUUAUUUAUCGUCUCAAUAGGAGGAAUCAUUCGUGAAUUUUCUUCAAAUUAAUAUCCUUUUACGCAAGGGAUUUUUACCAACUUGGCCAAAAAGUGAUUAUUAGAUGCUCAUAUUCCAAAGGUCACUCUAUGAAAAUGAUCGAAUCCUACCUUACCUUGUGCACUACCUCUUUGGAUGGUACAAAAUGUAAACGUGCAAGUUUCACUGGAUUAAGUAUCCGAGACACAAGGUGGCUUAUUCCUAAACACGGGAUUCCCUAUGUGGCAUUCCCUUUCUAGGAUUUAUGCAUGAUGCCAUUUUUAUCAAAGCAAGAAAAAAAAUGCAAUUCAAAAUGAAACGUGAACUAAGGAACCCUUUGUCUGCCAGGGUAGGCCUAAAAUGGUAUGACAUUAUUAAUUUAUGAACGAAAUAUACCAAAAUUGCUUAAACGUGCACUAUCCUAUCUACACGGGUAGGCUUCUAAAAGAAGGUCAUGCCAGACCUCUUAUUUGCUAGGGUUUGUGAAUGCAACGGGGACACAAAACCAAGAAAAGUUAGCGCAAUCAGAUAAAUACACAUAACACAUUGUAGCAACGAAAUCAACACAAGGAAAUAAAGCAAUAAAAAGAAGAAAGGGGUUGGACCCCUCCCCUCGUGAAUAGUGUCCCUAAUAGGGUAAGGCUGACUCUACCCUAGGCAAGCUAAAAUGGAUGCAUGAGGUUGGGGCUCACUAAUGCAUCUAGACUCGAUAGGUCAUAGGUCCCCGAGCCUUCAGACUUGGAAACCAAGGGUCAUCACUCCCAAGGUUCCUUGUCGGUGGCUCGAGCGAUUCCCCAGACGUUGCUACGCACACAUCGUGUUACGGCUACCCGUCUGGGCGAAUCUAAAAAGAAUCCUCAACCUUCGACUAAAAACUAAUAGGUCAUUAACCUAAAGUUUAAAGCGGAAGAUCGAGUGACCCCUCGGAUCACGCUACGCGCACGUCGUGUCACGAUCACAUGUCCAAGUGGGUCGCCGAAUCCUAGUAGGGUGGAGUGGCGUGACAAGCCACUAAAAGAAAAAUAAAUGAAGGGAUAAAAAAUAAAGCGUAUGCUCGUAUGCUAGUGCUCGUUUGGAGGGGAGGGAUCAAGAACCAACGUGAGGCUCUAAGGUAUGUCCCCCACCCAAAUGCAAUGCAAAGCGCGGAAUCACAUACAUAAACCAUUCAUCAAUUAAAACAAACGUACGCCAAAUGAGUAAGUGAGGGAGUUGGUACGCGUGAAAUGCAAAAUCCUAAUAAAAGGAAAAAUGCAACCCUAAAACACCCAAAUGUGAUAUAUGAAAAGAUUAAAAGAAGAAAAAGAUUGAUUAAAUCAAAUUUGCUCGGACUCUCGAAUAUCCCCAGUGGAGUCGCCAACUGUCGCGCCCCAUUUUUGAUAAAUAAAUAAAUGGUUUGAAAAAAUGUAUUUUUUGAUUCAAUUUGUGAUUGAAAAAUGAAUUGUGAUUUAAAAGAAAAAUGGGUCUAAAUGGGGGUUUGAGAAUGCGACGAUUUGACCCAAAAUUAUAGUUUAAAAAGGGUUUUUCGAAACAAAAUACGGAGUCGCCACUUGGUAAUGAGUUAAGGUGUACCAAGUCACCCAAAAAAAGAUUUUUUUGUUUUUUGAGGAAAAAUAGGAAAAAGUAGGAAGAAACCCCUUUUAAACGACUCCUAGUCCACGUAAACCAAAGAAAAAGGUUCGGGAGUCACAUUUGACAAAGGGGAAGGCAAGGAUAAAAUCCAAGGCACCCCUUUGACCUAGCCAGGGCUAGUUGCAUGAUUUAAUCAAAGAUUUUCUUGUUUUAACCAAAGAAUUUAUUACAUUUGGAUGCACUACAUGAAUGCAAACCCUAGACCUAGGGGUAUUGGGGGAAAUUUCUCUUCAAAGGUUGAGUGGUGCCAAUCACAUUAAUUGUGAAGCCCAAUAACGAUCCUUUGAAGAAAUUACGAAUAAUGCGAGUGGGAUGCAAAUGAAUGGAAUGCAUGUAUGUAAUGUGAGGACAUGAGUUUGAAAAAGUAAUAAAAGACAAUAAAUAUGUAAAUGAAAAUGUGCACGUGAGUGGGCAAGGUACGGUAUGUGAAAUGAUAAUAUGAAGUGCAUGUGUGCAAGUGAUGAUAAAAGUGUUCGUGUGCAAGUGAAGAAACAUAAAGGUGCACGUGUGCAAAAUGGGAGGAAAAAUGAAAGUGUGAUGAGGAUAUAAAAUGGUAGAGUGGAUUUAAAAAUGCAUGAGCCUAGGGAAUUCAUGCAUAUUGGGUACGGAGAGACCUAAAUCGUGACUCAAUUUGCCCUUUUAUAGAGGGAAUACAAGCGUGCUAAGGCUUAGAAAAAGCCACACUCGUCUAUAUCCCAUAUUUAAGGGGACUCUCAAGCAAAUGAACCCUAUAACUAGCAUGAAAUGCAAAAAUCCUAAAAUGGAGGGAAAAGGGGUUCAAGGGGCAUGCAAAAUGAUAAAACUAAAAAGAAUGAUGACAUGUAAUGAACAUGCAAACAUGUACUAACGAGGGGAAAUCCCUAAGGGUCUAGCGUUGGACUAGCCCAUUCUAUGAAUUCCGACUAGCGUUGGACUAGCGGAAACGUACAUUCAUCCAUCACAUUCAUUCAUGGCUAUAGAAAGCGAGUAGACAUGCCAAACACUCAUAAACACAUAGCACAUAACAUUUAGCAUGCUCGACUAGAUGCAAGGCCCUAACAAAGCAAAUUAACACGUAGCAACUAAGCAUGCAAGACACAUAAAACAAUUAAAACCCUAACUAUUACAUUUGCUAGCUAGGCACAUGACUUCGAUAGGUCUUCAUUGAAUGCUCCUCCAAGCCCUAUCUAUUACAUUAGGGAGACCCUACUACAAUCUAAAAGGGGGAAAAGGAAUAAAAUAAUUAAAUCCCUAACUAUUACAAGCCAAGAGGUGUACACAUACCCCAUAAAGAAUAACUUAAAUAAAAAGCAAAAGUAAAUGACAUAAAUAAAAGAAAUUAAAGAAAGGCUAGGAAAGCAAAGUAGACAUGUAUUUCUCACGUAGCACGUUGGUUCACAUAGGAGAGGCAAAAAAAAAAGAUAAAAGAAGUUAUACCUCCCUUGAGUUGGAGCUCUAAUGAGGUGAAACUACUAAUUUACCCUCCAAAAUAAAAGAGAUGGUCAAGGUACCAAUUUAUUUGAAGAAAUUAAAGAAAAUAGGCAAACACAAGCUCAUUCGGUCAUAAAGCCCCUAAAGUCAUGACUUAAGUGCAAUUGACAAAGCAUGGUAGCUAAUCGAAGUAAAACAAUCAAUGAGAUCGCAAAAACUAAAGCUGCCAAGGACCAAAUUGAAGACAUCAUUCAAUUGGUUGGGUCAUAGUAGAACAAAGGAGGACUUGGGGGGUCAAAAAUGCAAAUUCCACAAGGUUUCCAUGCAUGCAUACGAGGAAGAUUUAAGCUUCUGCAAUUGAGUAAAAAAAUCUUCUGCAUUUCGUUUCACAAAUGGAGAUUUAUCCAACUUCACACUGAGCAGCAAAGCCAAUAACUUUCACAAUCAACAAUCGAAAACAUAGCAGCAAACUAUACAAAUUCUGAUGAAAAAUUCAUGCAAACUCAAAGAAAAUUUCUGCAACAGCAAGUUUCUGCAAUAUUUUGUUCUUAUGCUUUCAGCCAACAAAACAACUCCACAAUGCACAGAUUGUCUAUCAAAAAUCUGACUUUGCACAGCUUCAAACUACACAAACUACAUACCAAUCACCAUUCAAACAGGUAGACACCUUAGAAAGAUCCCCUACUCAUACAAAAAUUCUGGAAACAUACAAAAACUUGAAGAAUACAAACUGCCGUAACUUCCUGCUGCAAAUUUGCAGCUCAAACACAAACAGGCAUUUUAGCACAAAAACUCAAGAAAACCAGCAACCAAAUCGUCAUACACCCCAAGCUUCUAUUCCCAAACCCUCGAAAGAUUCACAAACUCCUUAACCAAAACCCAAAUGAAACCCAACUUUACUUAAAACAGAAAUCAGUCAGCUACGCUUUUAGAAACAGAGCAACAUCGGAUGAAAGCCAUAAAGAAACUACUAAAUCCCAUGAAACCCCCAAAACCUAGCAUCCGAUUAUCUAUAGACCCUAUUUAUAUAUAUCUUGAGCCCUCAAGACUGGACCUUUGAAACAACAGAAAUCAUCAAGGCGGAAAUGCCAACAAAAUGCAUAUGCGAUGAAGAAAACCCAUUCGGUGGUAAAAAAAAUUAUUGGGAGUAUCAGAUUAGCUAAGUAAAGGAUAAUUUAUUACCUUGUGAUGAACUUGAACGAAGUUAACACCAAAGAGACGAACAGGUGAUACUCCACAAAAAUCUUCGCGAGUUCACCGAUGCACCGGCAGAGACGAUCUGCGACUUUGGAGGGCAGAUUUGAAGGCUUUCCUGAGGGUUUUUGUUUUUUUUUAACAAGAUCUGAACAAGAAUUUCUCUCUUGAUGUUGGUAAGUGCACAACAAUCCACAGUUUGGUGAAUGAUGCUGAAUUUAUGGAGAAAAUCUUCGCUCAAGAGGGCUGGAUGUUCAGCCUUUUCCAAGGAAAAAACGCAGCCUGCAUUCUACCUUUGUUGCUAUCGCGUCUUGCCGUUCCUUUUUCCCAACCACUGCCCAGAUUUUCAGUCUAUCUUCCUCUCUAAUCUGAGUUUUCCUAGUUUUUUUUGGUUGUCACUCGAUGCCCCCUUUCUCUCUUCCCUCUUGCUCUCGGCUCAGCUAUCUCAGUUUUCAGCCGUCCAACCAAUUUCCUCCCUUUUUCCUUUUUUUCCGAUCCUCUCCCCUUUGCGGCUCUCCAUCCUCUUUUCUAUUUAUAUCGGAACCUCCAACCCUAAAACUCAGUCCUUUUUCCUAUAUUUGCAGCCUAAGGGGCUCCCGAGCCUUUGUUUGCAAGCUGCGUUUUUACGCAGCUUGCAUGCCGCGGCCUUCUUCUCUUCUCUUUUUUUUUUAACUUAAUUAAACAAAAUUGAAAAUAGUAAAAAUAAAUAACAAAACAAAUUAAUUAACAUUAGAAACAACAAUGUGCAAUUUUCAUUUUUCAUUUUCCAUUUUCAUUUUUCCUUCUUUUUUUUUCUCUAAACGAACCAAACGAAAGUAAAAUAAAGUAGGAAUGACUAAAAAUAGAUAAAUAAACCCGAAUAAAACAAAAUUGCUAUUUUUCUUUUUUUCCUUUUUUCCCUUUUUAUGAUUUUUCUUUUUUCCUCUUUUUUUCAAGAAAUUCUAUGCUAAAACUUAAAAAUAAAAAUAAAACUAAAAACUAAAACUAACAAUCGAAUAAAACUAACACGAUAAAUAAAAAACUAAAAAUAAACAGUAAAUGAAAUUACACCAAAAAUUUGGUGUCUACAGUUAUUAUCAGUUGAGGAUUUUGAAAAAAAAUAUAUCUAAAACUACUUUUAACUCAAGGUAAAGACACUUUGAGUUUGCAGUAAUGCCAUUUGGAUUGACUAAUGCUCUUGCAGCUUUUAUGGAUUUAAUACACCGUAUCUUUAAACCUUAUCUGGACCAGUUUGUAGUGGUAUUUAUUGACGAUAUACUGGUGUAUUCUAAAACUCUGGAGGAUCGUGAGAAACAUUUGAUAAUUGUUUUGCAAACCUUGAGAGAACAUCAGUUAUAUGCUAAGUUUAGCAAAUGUGAAAUCUGGUUGAAGGAAGUAACCUUCUUAGGUCAUAUAAUCUCUAAGGACAGAAUUAAGGUAGAUUCGGCUAAAGUUGAAGUAGUUUCUAAGUGGAAUCAACUGGAAAAUCCUACUGAAAUUCGAAGUUUCUUAGGGUUAGCAAGGUAUUACCGGAUGUUUAUCAGAGAUUUUUCUAGAAUUGCGGGACUCAUGACUGAGUUGAUUAAGAAAAGUGAAAAAUUUAUAUGGAGCCCUAAGUGUGAAGAAAGUUUUCAGGAGUUAAAGAAACGGUUAACAAGGACACCUAUAUUAGUGUUAUCUAAUGAAAAAGAUAGCUUUGUGUUUAUACAGAUGCUUCAAAAGAAGGUUUGGGGUGUGUAUUGAUGCAGAAUGAUAAGGUGAUUGCGUAUGCCUCUAGGAAGUUAAAACCUCACGAGAGAAAUUAUCCAACUCACGAUUUGGAGUUAGCGGCUAUAGUGUUUGCAUUGAAGAAGUGGAGAUAUUACCUAUAUGGAGUGACGUUUGAGGUUUUUACCGACCACAAGAGCCUUAAGUACUUGUUUUCCCAAAAAGAGUUAAACUUGAGACAACGUAGAUGGGUGAAAUUUUUUGAAGAUUAUCAUUGCACAAUAAAUUAUCACCCAGGGAAAGCUAAUGUAGUGGCUGAUGCUUUAAGUCGCCAAGUGCAAGUAGCAGAAUUGAUGAUUAAUGAUUUGCACUUGUUAUAAGAGGUUAGUAUUUGAAACUCUCGUCUCGAAUCGAGAAAAGUGAUUCUUGAGAACAUUGUCGUGAAAUCUGUUUUGUUAGAUUGUAUCAAGGAAGUACAAGAGAAGGAUUUUGAGGUGCAAAAGAGGUUGGAAAAAGUUAACAAGGGGAAAAAGUCGGAUUUUAAUUUAAAAAUAAAUGGUGUACUAAGGUUUCGAAACCGCAUAGUGGUGCCAAAGGAUGAAGGGCUAAAAAGAAAAAUCUUAGAAAAACGCAUUGAUCUAAGUAUACGGUACACCCUGAAAGAAAUAAAAUGUACCAAGAUUUGAAGAGUCUGUACUGGUGGGAGGACAUGAAGAAGGAAAUUGCUCGGUUUGUCCAAACUUGUUUGAUUUGCAGCAGGUUAAAGCCGAGCAUCAGAAACCGUCUGAUUUACUGCAACCUUUAGAGAUACCCGAGUGGAAAUGAAAAAAUAUCACCAUAAAUUUUGUAUCUGGAUUACCAAGAAUACAAAGAGGUCACGACGCUACUUGGGUGAUAGUAGAUAGAUUGACCAAAUCUGCUCAUUUUCUGCCGAUUAGUAUGAAGUACCCAUUAGAGAACAAAGAUAUAUUUGGAUGAGAUUAUAAGGCUACAUAGGAUACCUUUAAGUAUUGUAUCUAACCGAGACUCUUGAUUUAUUUCUCAAUUCUAGCAGAAAAUGCAAGAAAUGUUAGGAACUAAGUUGAGUUUUAGCACUACAUACCUCUCAGACUGACGGACAGUCAGAAAGGACAAUUCAGACCCUUGAGGACAUGCUGAGAAUCUGAAUUUUAGAUUUCAGAGAAAGUUGAAGUAAGUAUUCGACAUUGGUGGAGUUUGCAUAUAAUCCAUUCAAAUGGCUCCAUAUGAAGCACUUUAUAGCCGGAAGUGUAGAUCUUCGAUAUAUUGGGAUGAAAUAGGUGAAAGAAAUAUUUUAGAUACAAUUGCAGUACCAUGGAUUGAAGAGGCAUAUGAAAAAGUGAAGUUAAUAUGUCAAAAGAUUCAGAUAGCCAAGAGCCGUCAAAAGAGCUAUUCAGAUAACUAAAGGAAGGAUUUGGAGUUUUCGGCUAGAGAUCAAGUUUUCUUAAGAUCACGCCUCUGAAAGCAAGUUUGAUGGCACGAAAAGAAAAGAAAUUGCAACCGAAAUUUGUAGGAUCUUAUAAGAUUCUUCAACAUGUGAGAAACGUGGCCUAUAAGUUGGAACUGCCAUCAAGUUUGUCUCGAAUUCAUAAUAUUUUCCACGUGCCUAUGCUCAAGAAGUACCACCCAGAUCCCUCUCAUGCACUACAACCAAAAGAUAUUGAGAUUGACGAGGCACUAACAUAUAAGGAGAAACCGGUGAAGCUUUUAGAUCGUAAGGUGAAGGAAUUAAGAAAGAAUCGAAUUCCUCUGGUGAAAGUCCUAUGAAGGAAUCACGGAAUAGAGGAAGCAACUUGGGAAGUAGAGAAGGAGAUUCGAAAGAAAUAUCCAGAUCUAUUUCCGAAUCAAAGUAUGAAUUUUGCAAACGAAAUUCUCUUAAAGAGGAGAGGAUGUGAGGACUCAUGUUUUAUUUCUUAAUUUAGUCAUUUUAUAAAUUAUUUGCCCCAAUGUUAUUUAAUUAUCCUAGUAUUGCAUGAAUUUCCCUUAAAUUUCAUUUUUUUCGCGCGCGUCGAAAGUUUCUCGGAAGUCAUGCUGGUCCGAUUAAUUGGAGAAUUGAGCAAUUUGUAUUAGACUUGUAAGUGUGAGUAAUUACACUGUUAGAGGAAUUACCUUGGAGGAUUAGUGUAUAAGUAUACCAAACAAAAGAAAAAAGUAGUAGUACAAAACCCCAUUUCAUGCUAUUGAGGAUUGCACACUUUAUGACUACCUUUUUCAUUAUUUCCUUCCAAGAAACCAAACCACAAAACCCUCACACUCUCUCUCCUAACUUUUGGCUGACCCAAAGGAAAAGAAAAGGGAAGAGAAAGGCUUCAACUUCUUGCUCCAAGUUUGCUUGAUUCACUCCAUCCAACUCACAAUUCCUUGGGUUUUUGCUCCAACUAGAAGAAAGGUGAAAGCUUGAGGUGUUGCUUGGUGAUUUUUGUGACGAUCCCACCUCCCCCUAGGGCGUACCCCAGGGUUUAGCAGACCGCUUGCCCAGCUCUCGUCAUGAGUCACUCACUCACUUCAAAUGUAAUAGGUUAUAACCUCAAGAGUAAAAGAAAUACCAAAAGGAAUACCAGUUUCCAAACUUGGAACAUACAUGUACAUUCAUUUCUAUUUCAAACAUUCGUACAAUCCCACAUAUAUCAAAAGAUGUGAGUUUUAGAUACAUUCAGUCCUAAUCGAACACUAGUGCGAGUACAAUCGCAAAAUUCAAAAACUAUUAGACUACGCUAGUCUAUACCAGUCUCACGCCUCGCUCGUACCCUCUGUAAGGAAAACAAAUGGCGUGGAAUGAGCUAAAAGUCCGGUGAGGUUUCGUAUAGCAAGUUGACCAUUAUUGAAAAGUACAAAUAUCACGUAGCAAAAUAGCGAGCAUAACAAGUUCAUGAAAGUGAGCAAUAAUACUUCAAAUAGCAAAUGUCAAAAUGAGCGAGUGAAAACUCUUCUUAUUUUCCAAAAGAACGAUAACACUUCGAAUUACAAUCAAUGUAUAAGGAUAUAGAUGGCUCUCAGGAGCCAAAUUCCCAUUUCUUCACCAGAGCUUGAUCAAGUAUUAGUUGAGACUCCGUCAACUUUCAAGUAAAGUAACUAGUCCAGUAGUACACCACUUAACUCCAAUCUCCAUCCACCAACCAAACCCCUUACCGGGCCCGAACUCCACGAUAAACACUGGUGAUAAUAAUCGAGCAUACCGAUUAGUCAAGGAGAUAACACUCCAUUCGACAACAUUAGAUACCCCUGGUUCAUUAUCUAAUCGACCAACCCUUUGCCGACUCGACUCGAUUAACUAGCUAAUGGGGUUUGGGUCCCCAAAAAGUCGAUGAGAUAACACUCAAAUCGACUGAAUCAAAAUAAAAGUACGGAGACGGGAAUGAGAGGUACCUCCCACUCACAUUGAGUGUGGUACAUGCUGCCGCUCAACACUUAUAAGUCAAGUACAAGUAUAUCAAGUCAAUUGCAACAAUAAACAAGUAUAUAUCAUAUUAGGGCAAGUGCGAUAAAGUACACUCUUGCUCAAUCAAACAAAUUACAUAUCAUUUGAUCACAUUGGUCAAGUAUUGAAAACAAGUGUCAAGUUCAAUCAGGUAUUUGGAAGCACUCACCAAAGGUCUAGUGCCUCUCAAAAGUCACGUUCAGGUCCAACUCCUUGGUUGGAGUCCAAAUCUGCGAUAAAAUAUCAUUUACAAAUAUAAAACUCUCUAGAGUUCGAAACAUAGGGGUUUCGCUUCAAGAAAAUCAAGUAAAUGCAACUCGUUUAAGUAAUAUUCAAGAUAUUUAACAAAUUUUAAAUUCAUGCUCGCUCGUUUAGUUAUGAUCACGAAGUGGUUUCAACUUUAGAAGUUGUACUUGGUAUCAAAUAUCGGAAAAAUCAUAUUUUGAAAGGGUCAUUACUUUCACUUUUCAAGGGUACGAGUUCUGACAAAAUUUAGCUUAUAUAUCUUGACUAAAGAAAACUCGAAUACCAUAGGCGAUUCGAGUCUAACUUGACCUCAAAUCAUCGUUCAAAUCGUGAGUACAUAUGCCUAACACUCGAGUGAAAAUUUGAACAGCAUGCCCUUUGUAUUUAGCUAUUUUCCAGCCAUUUAUGGCUUCAUUAUUUUUCUUAAUUCGGCCCAAAAUCAAGGUAGUAAGCUGUCCCAAAUUUUGGACAGCAUGAUCCCUUUUUUGUCCUAUUUUUUCCUUUCCAAAUUCAAUACAAAAUUUCAUGGCCAAACCAUCCAAAUCAAGAGCACAAGUGAUAGGGUAUACAAGCUACUAAUUUCACACUGUAAAUCCACCAAAAAUAAACAAGUAUUUAGCUCACAUAUCUCUAUACCAAGGCUGGCUGUCAAGCAAACGUUCAACUCCACAAGCUUAAAUUUCCAUAAGCAAACUAAUGGAACAUAUGCAAGUUGGAAAAAUUACAUGACAUGGCUAAAAUAUAUAGUAAACAUGAUAUUAGCAUUUUAACACUCAUUUUCAUUUUCCUUAACUAAAACGGGAAAUUUAUUGCUUGGGACAUGAAACAUGUAAAAGUGAAGUUUUCACCUCUCAAAACCUUUCAUUUUCUAUCCAAUUCACUACUCAUACCAAAGUUAAUGUUUAAUCAUGUGUUUAGGACAUUAAUAAGUUGAUUUCACCACACAAAACCAAGAAUAAAGUUAAACAAAAUCACUCUCUCUUUCGAUCAGCCUCAAGGAGAAUUCUAGCCAUGAAAACAGUGAAAUAAAUGGAGUUUAAACCACUUAAGGCCCAUGGUUUUGGUUCAUUUCCAACACAUACUUGUAGUUUAAAGUCUUCUAGGGUGUUUUGAACAAAUUGAGCUUAAAAUCAUCUUGAAAAUUUAGCUAUCAAAGCUAAAAUUCCAGCAAGCAUUCUUUCUUUGGAAAAAUCAUAACUUAAGUUAUACAUGUCAAAAACUCAUACAAAUUAUCUCGUUUAAAACUAGACUUGAAAUACUAACAAUCUUUAGCAGACAUCUCAUGGAGAUUUGGUUCAUAAGUUAAUCCAAAUUGAGUCACAAGUUACCACAGCAUCCCAAUUUUUACGUGUUCAGGACCGAUUUUUCAGUCAACUUUGCUGAUUUUCUGGUGCAUAUAUAAAAUGAACCACAGCUCCAAUUUUAUACCAUUGGAAAGAUCUAUGAGUCUAGUUUCAAACGCAAUUGACAGUACUCAAUUUUGAUUUUUCUACACUAAGUUAUGAUUCGUUUACUAAAACUGCCCAGGGGUGACUGUCACCCAAAAUUUCAACCUUUCACUUGAGUUAUUCCAACUUUAUUGCUGCCAAUAACUCACACUUAAUCUAGCAAUUUGCUACCCAAUUCAAAGACAACAUACUAUAGCAUACUAAACAAGAAAUAUAACAUUUAGAGCAUGACUUCCUAGUAGAAACUUCUCAAAGGGAUGAGAUAGCAGGCUGUGACAAGGAUGGAACAAAGUUCCUCCAAUUUUUCUCAAGCUCUCUUAGACAAAUUUUCAGCCAAAUCAAUGAACAUACAACUAUUAUUCAACCAUAUAAACAUACUAACUUCUAUAUACACAGUUGUCAUGAUAUAAAACAUGAAAUCUUAGCAAAACUUCACUCCAACUUUAAAGUAAAACUAAUAUAUCCAACUUUAUGCAAUCGAUCAGCCCACAGAUUUUUUUCCAAACAGGUUCCUUCAAACUUUCUUUCAUCCAAGCCACUAAUUUCUCACUCAUUUUCAUGGCAAAUACACCAUAUAUCAUUUUUAACAUAAGAUGAAACAUAUGACCUGAGUUCUUAGUAAGGAAAACCAUCAGAGUUCCAAAUACAAAGCUACAAAUAAAAACUAUCAGCAUUUGUCACUAAAUUAAAAUUCCAGCAACCUAUAACUUAGAAAAGUAUAUUUUUCUUCCACUAAACUCCUACCUCUUGGCUUAAAUUUAACAUACAUCAAAAGCCCUCUAAAGUAUGUGAAAGAAAUUGAAGUUCCAAAUCAUGUUACCUUUAAAACAAGCUAGAAGUUAACUCCCCAGUUUUGGUCCUUCUACUCAAUCAAGCAAGCUGGAAAUGGAAGUAAGACACAAGCUUCCUUUCAGUUUUCUCUCUCUCGUUGCUCUUGGCUGAAGUGGAAGCAAAACAAGAGAAAUUUCUUUAUUUUCUCUCAAGCUUCUCUCGGAUGGAAGGUUGGAGCAGGACACAAAUCUUU
RNAcentral lists this long non-coding RNA (67764 nucleotides) under Coffea arabica (coffee). Its description in RNAcentral is "long non-coding RNA (CARA_LNC005950)". The record is from RNAcentral. Lineage: Eukaryota; Viridiplantae; Streptophyta; Magnoliopsida; Gentianales; Rubiaceae.